This 51741-nucleotide long non-coding RNA is filed under the name Ricinus communis (castor bean). Its description in RNAcentral is "long non-coding RNA (RCOM_LNC001487)". The record is from RNAcentral. Lineage: Eukaryota; Viridiplantae; Streptophyta; Magnoliopsida; Malpighiales; Euphorbiaceae.
UAAAAACAAUAAAAAGUUACGCAAGAAAUAGAAACCAUCCCUUUUAGUUCAAAUAAGAAGUUUUCUCGUAUGCAACAUAGCAAGAUUGUUCCAGUGAUUCGAUAUCUAUAUAUCUAUAUUACGGUUGCAAAUUAUGUAAUUACGACAUGAUAGAAUUAACAAGUUAUUUCAGUAAAGCAUAGAUUCAUGUCACUUAGCAGUUGGGUGCAGUACUGCAAUUUGUCCAUCNNNNNNNNNNNNNNNNNNNNNNNNNNNNNNNNNNNCUCUGGAGAACAAGUAAGGGUACUGGCUGUAGUAACUGACCAUAGAAGCAGCUGUAUUGUCACUCAUGAGAGCUUGGUCUGAUUGGAGUAGCCCGGGAAUUGUUCAGAAGAAGCUUGUAAUAAGAGUUGUCGAAUCUGGAAGAAGUGACAGAAUCUAAAGGAGCCAAAUUUGUAUCAGAAUCUGCUUGGUUUGGACAAACACCUUGCAGACUUUGAAGAAGUGAUGUAUCUAGUGCUGGAUCAGGUUUGCCAGAGCCACCAAAGUCGAAAAGCCUUGGUUUGAAUGUGAAGCACUGAGCAAAGCCGAGAGUGUGUCCGCCUGUAUUUAGCAUAAAGAAUCGUCUAUCAUUUGUUAUGAAAUGCUGCCUUGAUUAGUCUAUUUGUAUGCAUGAGAUGAAGAAAGAUGUUGAAGCAAUAACAUAUAAGACAAGCACUCGGUCACUAGGCUAUAUGUUCUAUAUAUGUCCGAAGUUGGUUCUGGAAUCAUCUUCUAGAUUAAAAUUUUUAACAAGCUAUUCCUUGCACAGUGAAUUGUUGUAUAUGAAUCUGCAAUCAGCUUUUUUUUCUUUAGUUCCAUCCAAGCCAAGUUCUCAACUUUAAUUUUUUUAUUUUUAAGUGGCGUGAAAGCAAUGCCAUUGAAAACAAACCUGAGAGCACGACGACAUCCUUCAAUUCCAGACCCUUUGCGGUAAAUUUUGCAGUUAUGUUCUGUAAAGACUCAAAAGGUGAUGGGAGUUGUUCAUCAGCAGCACUCUGACUUGCUGUUAGACCAUCUCUGCGACCCAAAGGUAUACUCCAAUAAGGGCCUCCAGCCUAAGGAAGAUGAGAAAGAAAAAUGGUGAAUGUGAAUACAACAAUAAUAUUCUAUGACAUACAAGCAUACAAGAAGAGCUUCAAUUUCUUACAAGAUAAACUGCCUCCCUUGCUGCAAGAGUCAGUAUAUCAGCACAAGAAACAGUGCCAGGACAGAACCUCUCCAAAGUAGCCUUAAUAUUGUCAAUAACCUCAAAUCCUCUGGCUGAAUUUUGAUUUGCCAAUGAACUUUUUUCCCCAUUAUCACCAUCAAGUAGCACAGAUCCUUCACAUCCCUAUAUAUACAUAACAAGAAACAGUCGACAGUCAGUUUCAGCAGCUAAAUUUCGCAAAAUUACUAACUAAGCACUUUUUGUUAACUAUUCUCUCUUCCAUUUUCCUAAGGAUAAAGUCAGAAUGAUAAAACAAGUAAUGGAUUUGAUUACGUUAACAAAGCAAUCGUGGAAGUGAAGCCUCAAGAGAGAGGCUGCCAUCCUGGUGUCAUUUGAUAUAGCUGACCAAACACCAUAGCGAACAAUUCUCGUCAGGUUAGGACAAGUGCCAUCAUAGUACCUAUAAUCAAGUUGGCAGGUGACAAAAGCACUCAAGAACAUGAGGCAAAACAAGUAAACAAAGGGGAGUUUAUAGUUUGUAUGCUCCAUGUGUCUAGAACUGAAACAGAAGCUGUUCUAAAAGCAGAACCGGCAAUGUUACGAGCAAGCAGUAGUGUGCAGGAACUUGCAAUUUAUACAUCAACAAGGAGAACGUUAAUCUGUUGCAUUAUUAAGUGAUAACGCCACUGAAGAUUUCCUCUCAUUGAAUUUGGUACAAUUCCAUAAACUUGUAAGACCCACUACAUCUAGUUAGUGGCAUGAUGAUGUUUCCCAUCUAGAAAAGCAGCAUAAAGCACUGUUUUUAUACUCUUAAGUUUGACUUAAAUCUUUGCAUGCGAAGACAAAAUGCACUUCAAAACAGAUAGCAAAGCCAUUUCUGGUAUAGACUUUAGAUACUGCUUGCAAUUCCAUCAAAUUGAUUUCUAAGAAAAAAAAGAAUCAUAUGUCAGAUAAAUCUUGGCAUGCUCAAUGAUUUUUAAGUGAAGAAGGAAAUAUGUAUCAUAUAAAUAUGUGUAUUCUCAACUAGGUAGUGGAAGACAUGCAGGUUGCAUAAUGGAGGCUGGUGAGAUGGAUCCAUCACGGACUUGCAUAUAAGCUCAUGACAUGUAAGUGGAGGUGAUAAUUUAAUAUCAAACAAAGCAUUAGCCACUUCAAAUAAUAAAGGGUCCUGAAAGGAAGGAUGAAUGACCAAUAGGAGUAACCGGGAGGUGGUGGUAGGCUGCUAAAAUUGGAACUGAACUUGAUUCCUUAUGUAUAUUAUCCAUCUUAAAAGAAUCAUCUCAAGCUUCAUAGGAGAACUAGUGGGGGAGGUGUUAUCCAUGGAAGAUCAGAUAGGUAUUGUUAGAUUAAGAUCUUUCCAAGGCCACACGUUAAAUAGUUCUGUACUCAAUAUUUUCCUGACCAUUUUGUAUAUGCUUUGCAUUCUCAGACAUGAGUGAUAAGACUUCCAACAUGGGUUUGCUUACUUAGUUAUAGAAAGCUCAAUAGAUUUAUGCUACACAUUAUAUUAUACUCCCUAUCACCAUAAUUCAGCAAAACCUCUAUUUACAGUAAUACAUUUGAAACCAAAUGAAAUUUAUAAUAAUAAUAAAAUUAUAAUUUAAAAAAAAUUUAAGUACUAAUUUUUUAUUUAAUAUUUAAUCUUAUUGGUGAAAUGAUAAAAAUCAAUAAGAUAUAUUAAUAUCUUGUCAUAUUAUACAAAUAAAAUUAAAAAAAAUUAAUAUAAUAAGAUAAAACAUAUCGUAAUAUAUAUUCUAUAAAAAUAUGUAUACAAAUAUUAUUAUAUAAAGAAAUAUGUUGUUAAGAUGAGAUAAUAUAAAAUUUAUUUCUAUUCACAAUUAGUCUAAAUUGGAAUUAUAACUAUGUAGGGGAUGUUUUGACCCCUUAAAUUAGACUUUAAUCUAUUUUAAUACUUGAAAAUUUUAUAAUUUACUGACUCAAUGGAUGCUGUACCUUUUUGAAUCCAAGUUCAAAGUUCAAUUGCUUUUUGUGAAUGGAUAUGCAGAGGUGGUGGAUAGCAAUUGAGUCUUAAUUAAAUUUUCCAGGCAUCAUAUUUUUCUUAAUAUAAUUACAUGUGUUCCACUUUCCUACGUCUUACUACCCCUCUUAGUAUAGAUCUCUCUCUCCACUACUGCAUUUUAAUAUAUGAGUUAAUUAUAUUUUUGGGUUACAUGCAGCUAUUACAUUAUUAAUUUAUCAAUCAAAUGAAGAAGAAUCCUGAGGAAGAUAACCUCUCUAUAACUUAAAUGAUCUUCAAAUUAUAACCUCUUUGUUAGUGUUAAUGUACUCAAAUAAUUCUAAGUUAUAACGGGGGUUGGUUGAGUCAUAAAAAUAUUUAUUUUUAAAAAAUUAAAUUUUGAAUUUAAAUUUCUAUUUAUAUAUUAAAUGAAUUUUUAUUUUUAUAUCGACGGUGACUAUUUAUAUCAUGCAGUCCUGUGAUAAUUUUAUAUUCUUUUAAAAAUAUAUUAAGCAUAUUUUUAUAUUGACAUUAUUAGUAGUAAAAGUAAAAUUUACGAGAGGGGGAAGGAGGCAGGAAAGAAAAAUGAGUACUAAAAGUAACAAAAAAGAAUUACAGGAGCUGGUGGCGGCCAUGGCCCCCCUCACAGCGCCCCUUCCCUCCGCCAUUGGAAGAUUAUCUCUGUCUCAUAUUUAUUCAAGUUUUGCUUCAUGUUUAUCAGGAUAAAAUUGUACUAUUUCUUAAUGCACCGGUUUUUGUCAAUCAUUCAACAAUUUCUUUAGCCAAAGAAUGUCAAGAAAAUGCAUGGAACACCAUAAAAAGGAAAGGAAAUAAAAGCACUGUUUUUUGGAAUGAAUUCUCAUAAAAUUUCCAGUCACAGAAAACCAGGAUAAUAUUUCUACAUCCAUAGCGAGUAAGUAAACAAGCAACAGAAAGUCUGAAGGAAGUUAACAGAGGUUGCAGAAGAGGUAAUCAAGGCAGCUUUCUGAGCAAUCAAAACAGCAAGAACAACUGCAAAAUAUGUAAAUAUAUCCCAUUAAACAAACAGUUAAGAGAACAACAAAUGAAUCAAUCUAUUUAAAAGAAAGAGAUUUCUGCUUAUUUUUUAAAUUUUUAAUCUUUACCAUUCAUUGAUAACUUUGUCUUGUUCAUCUUCUCCGGCCUGAAUAUUCCUCUCUAUGGACUGUGAUGCAGGUGGCUCCAUCUCUCUCUUUUAACUUUUCAAUUUAGAUGGUUUUUUCUUUUUUAGGCUUUCUCUUUCUAUAGAGAAUGAUGGAGAAAUGAGAUUGGGCAAAUAUUAUAAAAGAACUGAAACAGAAAGAAACAUACCAAAACAAAGCCCUAUUAUCACGUGACUGCACUUUUGCUCUUGUUUUUAUUUGAUGGGAAAGUUUGACAUUAAAUUACUCUCUUUUUAUUUUCCUUUGCAUCUAAUUUUUCGUUUGAGUAAUAAAUACCUGAAUAUUUUGUAAUUCAUAAUGAAAAUAAGUGAAAAAUAUUUUAUAUGUGUUAUGAUUAAUAUUCAGAGUUGUCCAACUGAUUUAGAAAGUAUUUAAUAGGACCUUUGCCAUGAUAAUAACAUUUUUAACACAGCUCAAGGCGCCAACUCAAAAGAUUUUGUUAAAUUUAGGAUUAAUAUUUUAAUUUAAAAUAAACAGACAAAAAUGAAAAAAGAAAGUUAGACUUUGGACCACUCAUGUUAAGCCCAAAUAAAUUUGCUUGGAGUGUUUUAUUCAAUAUUGCUUUUCUUGAAUUUUCUUUUUAUUUGAACAAUUGCUUUUGUUGAUUUGGGGGAAAGAAGAAAAAGAAAGUUUGGUAGAUGGGGAUCCCGUCAAAACUAAUGUCGAGGAAUGGGCUAGGCCGGAUCAUUUCUUAAAAACAAUAGUUAAAAGGACCAUAUACUACCAUUUGGAUUUGAAAUCUAUAUGCUGCCCAGUGAUUUGGACUGUAGACCGAUUAUAAAAUCCUGUUUAAAAAGUGGAAGUAUUAAUUCUCUGCUCUCAGAUUGAACAGUAAGAAUCGGAAAAGGGCAAUCACUCGUUUUUAAAACCAACUCAAAAACACAUAGAUUUGAAUCUCUUGUUGAAAGGCUUUUUGAUCUUUAUAUAGGGUAUUACUAAGGUCACAAUUUAUUUUGUUAAUGCCAUGCCAAACAAUUAAAUAUUCAUCUUGAAGUUAAAUUUUUGUAUUAUUAAAUAUUUAACAUAAGAUGUCAAGUUCGAGCCUUUUUUUAUUUAUAACUUAAAAAAACUAUAUAUUAACAUAAUUUAUAAAAAGAAAAAAACUUCUUCCAACUUCCUUUUUUUCUUUCUUUUGUUUCUAACAGCCUCAAUAAGGAAAAAUCCUCUGAGUUAGUAUAAAUUUCAAGUAUAAAAAUUACAAAACCUAAAGAGUUGAGAGAACACCGUCAGAAAUGGACUGAAAACUACUUAAAUCAUUCUGCUCACAUGUAACUCCCCUUGGGUAUAAGAGUGACUUUAACCAUCUUUUUUUUUUUUUUUCUUUUCUUCUUUUUUCAUUUUUCCCUUUUCUAAAUUCUACAAAUACAUCCAAGAAUUUAUCUCAGAAAAUAUACAUACAAAUGAACUUCUGCAAUUGCUGAAGCUUUAGAUUAGUAUACAAAACCUGCUUCUGAAAUCCCUGGUGCUGAAUGUAUUCGCUGGAAGAAGAAGCUUUUCAAACUUCAGAAGCCUCUGAUUACACAUGAGGGGUGGGAUAGGAUUUGCUACUGCAACAAACCAACAACCUACGUCCGUCACUACCAGCCUAUUAAUGUCAACAAACUCGAUCUCCUUCAAUUACGCUAUGUUAAAAACGUGCAAAGGUUCUUCCGUUUCCCUUGGUUAUUUUAUGAUAUGGCUACUUUUAACACCAUGUUUACUCAAGUUGAGAGUAGAUGAAGAAGCGUUGCCAUAAUUUAUGUUGUGACCUGGAGGAGAUGAAAUUGGAAGAACCUCAAGAAUAGAGCGAGGAGAAUAACAGGGCGCCUCCAUCACCGUCAAGUUGGAAGUUUUAUGAUGAAAUCUUCUGGCAGUCUCGCUGAAGAAAAAGAAUAACGCAUGAAGCUGAAGCCAUGCAAGAGUAACAAAUAAGGAUUACUGGCUUGAUAAUGCAUUUAACUUAAACUGAAAUGAGGUAGGGAAACACAGAAAAUAACUGUUACCUCUCAGAAGUCACCUUUCCCUUUGCGCUUUGCGACGCAGGUGGUAUUGGCAUCUGAUCAAGCUUAACUUCAGACCCAUUUGAACUGUGUGUUAAAUCCUGCCAAUGCAAUAUGAAAUAUAAUAAAAACUGACAAAAUUAGUUUCAGUGAAGGAAAAAUCAAAAAACAAAAUCACAAGGGAAUGGAACUGGUAGUUUACCAUUAAUUUUAUCCCAUUAAUUGACCGGGUGGAAGACGGAAAAUCAAGCUGUUGUGAGUUUCUCAACCAACGGUGCUCUAGUAGCAUGCUUGCUGAUGGCCUGUCAGCAGGAUUCCUUUGGAAGCAGCAAUGCAGAAAAUCCUUGCCCUCAGGUGAUAAUGUUUCGGGUAUUGGUGGAAUAUCCCUCAGAACUUUAAACAUGGCUGCAGCCUGUGUGUGGAAGAGAAUUUAAAAUGUCAAUUAAUAUAGGAAAAAAUUGAAGUAUAUGUUUGCAUGAAAUCCAGAAUAAGUAACAGCCAUAAACUUUGUAUUUCACUCUAGAAGAAAUAUUUUCAGUGACCUAGAUAUGGAACCUGCUUGAAUCCAAGAGUUAUCAAGUAUAUAUUCAUCUCAUCGGACAAAUCUACUAGGCAUCUAACUCGCCAAGAUUCAUUCAUAUCCAUAAAAAACGCAUAUUAUGCAGAGAAUAAGCAAGCCAUUUGGUAGAAAUCGCAGAAUUUAAUCCUUAGCUUAUGGCCGCAUACAUUUAUAAUAAGAAUUACUUUCCCCACUUCAAUUCAAAUAGAAGAUGCAUUAUGGACAUUAUCUACUAUUAAUAUAAAGCGUCCCAAUCACUAAUAUAAGACCAAGAAUCUAAGCAUCUUCAGACAAUAGGGUUGUUCUUGUUCCUCAAUAAUACAAACAUACUACUACCACCAAGUUAUUAUUUCACCAUAAGGACUAAAUUGAACAAGUGGAAGAAACACAAUAACAAAAGGGAAAGCUACACAUAUUUCAAAAUUAUAAACAACGUUUCCCUCUUCUGGAAAUAUUCUUUAUCUAGAAUAAACAGGGGAAGGCUUUGCCAGCAUCAAAGAAUCUAGAACAAGUCACCUAUAUCAUCUAAUCUUCCCUUUUCCUAGCCAAAAGAAGAUACAAGUCACAAGUUACGAACAAAUAAUAUCAUCUCAUAGAAUCUUAGGAAUAGAAGGAAAAAAAGGAAAGAAAAAAAAAAGAAAAAAAAAAAGUGCAUAGCCAUGAUUCAUUACCCAGGGAAGAGGGAAGAGGAAAAAGGGUAUUUUCUUGAGGAACCCAGUUCACUUCGAGAAAAGUAAUGUGUUGUCCCCUUUUUGGAAGGUAACAGUGCAUUUAGAGUAGAAACAUCCCUGCUAAUUACAAUGUUGAAAAAUUCUAGCCCUUGUAUCCUAAUUUAUAUUUCACGAAGAACAUUCCUACCCACUUACUUCUUUUGCUAACAGUUUCAGUUGAGGCCAACUUAAGGAAAUAAUGGAUAAAGGGAAUUACAAAAAUUUGGUUCUUACCCCCUCGUAAUCACUCCAAGGAGGUUUUCCUGUGAACAUUUCAAUAAUAGUACAGCCCAGACUCCAAAUGUCAACAGCAAGUGCAAGAUCUGAGCUGGUAUCCUUCUGCAUUACAGCUUGCAUAAGCUGCAGAGAAGACGGAGAUAUUAGAAAAGAAAAGGUAAGCAACCAUCAAAUAUUGAUGUAGCAACAAGAAGGUACCUCCGGGGCCAUCCAGUAUGGGCUUCCCUUCAAAGACAGUUCAGCUGCCUGUCCAGUAAGCUGAGAAAGAUACAAGUCCGUCAUUUUACAAGACCAUUAUCAGAAAUAAAAAGUUGGAUAUAAAAUAUCACGACGUGAAUCAUAAAGGAAAAUAUAAUAGAAGGCAUGUUUAAUUGUGUAUCGCCACUGAAAUAAGGUUGUUACAUUUUAAUAGGGUACAUUUUUUUUUUUUACUAAAACGAAGGAGUCACCUAAUAUAGGAAUAUUGCAUUCACAAUCCCACCAAAGGUUCCAAAAUUAAAGUCACCAAUCACUUAUUACCUGCUGCUGUGAAACAAAAUAAACCAAUGAAGGUGCUACAGAUAGUAGAUCACACAAAUCUAUUGCUUUUGCAUACUAGGGCCCAUAGUUUUGUGCAAUUGAGUAUAUGCACAAUUUUUCACAGUAAAAUUAUCUGUAACAAUAGGCUUAAUUACCAUUUCCACGUCUCUAAACUUCUUUUCAAAAAUUACGAGAAUAUUUGUGAAGCAUAAAAAGGAAGAAUGAGGUAUGAAUAAGAUUUAGAUGCUCUCUGAAAAGAAAUGUAAAGGAGAAUUAAGAGAUCUGAUAAAUCUGAAAAAGUAUACAAGGGAAUAAGACAAAACAGGAGUAAGUAGACUUAGUAAAAUAAUCAGGAUGGCUGAUAUCUAAAAUGCAUUUGUUACCGAGAACUUUAAGUACAUGAUUGAGUUCAUGUGACCAACAGGUUUCUUAGAAAAAUUGAAAACCAGUACUCACAUGUUUCGACAUCCCAAAAUCAGCAAGCUUAACAACUCCAGAUGCGUCAACAAGCAAAUUAGCCCCUUUUAUAUCUCUGUACAAACAAGAAAUAAUCUAUUUAUUUGAAAAAUAAUAAAAUAAUAAAAUUCACAGUAUCACCUUUGAAGACUAAAACAGAACUUGUUCCUGUACCUGUGUAUCGUUUUCAUGCUAUGCAAGUAGGCCAAUCCUGAUAGAAUGUGACGACUAAAACUACGAACAACAUUUUCUGUUAUGGCUCCACAAUGUUCACGGACAUAUUUAUUAAUUGAACCAGGAUGAACAUACUCUAGAUAUAUAUAGAAGUGGUCUCCAACCUGCAUAUGCAUAAGAUUGUUAAUCAGUGAGGUCUUAAAGAUACCAUGGCCUGGCACCCUGAAGCUUGGAAAGCCUAAAGAUGCAUGUUGAGGUUACUCACUAUUUCACUACCAUAAUACUGCACAAUGUUCGGAUGCUUUAGGUGGCUGAGAACUUUAAUUUCCUGAAAUUAAUGGAGCAAGUAAAUAUAGAUUAAAAGGAAGCAAAAUCUAACACAUACUUGCAAUAAACCAUGCAUGCUCAACAAAACGAGAAGUAAAAAGAAUAUACAUAUACAACCUAAAACUAUGCAUAUCAAGAACUAAUAAAAGCAACAGUAGAUGCACAAGGAUACUCAUCAACCAAAAAGCUAGUACAGAAUCUUCAGAACAAAGAUUAAGAAGAUUAUGCCACGUUGUAUUAGUUUAAAGAGCAGUUGAGGAAGACAGAAUCCACAUAUGAAAUCACUGCAAAUGUGGUUAAAAACCUGUUCUAAUUGCUUUAUAGACUCUGCAGAUUUUGGGUCAUCUGGAAACAUGUCAACUUCCUUCAUUGCGCAUAAUGCCCCAGUUUCCCUGUAGGCAAUAAAGACUGUGACCAUUAGCAUCUCAUGGUGCAAAAGAAGGUAGGCGCAAGAGAAUAACAGAGUUUGCAUACCUAUUGCUGGCAACAUAAACACUGCCAAAUGUACCACGCCCAAUUAGCUUUCCUUUCUGCCACUGACUUUUUAAGGGUAUGGACUCUGCUUUAGAAAUAACUUGGGGAACAGAAGAUGAUAUUGAAGGCCUGGAACUGGAAGCUCCAGGAGGAAGAGGCAAUGGGUGAACCUCAAGAUUAGCAUUACAUUCACGGGAAGUUUCAAUAGAUAGUCUAGCAUUUAGUGAUGCAGGUCCUCCAGUAGGACUUUUAGGAUUCCUGCGGGGACUUCUACUAGGUGGACUAUGAAGAGGAGAAGUAUCAGUACUAAAAGCAGUAUAAUCAAAAAAUGCAGGGGGAGGAAGGCCUGGUAUAUCUAAAGUGGCCAUCUCAGGGGCAGACCACACUUGAUUUCCUUUAGCAAUCAUUUGAUAAUAAGGCAAGAAAUCAGCUGCAGUUGUUAAUUUCUGCGGACUUGAGAACGGACUAGUAGGCGCACUCCUUAUUGGAGCAUUGAUCCUCGAGUAAUCUGCACAAUGAUCCACGCUAAAAUCCGGAUGCACCUUCCUUGGUGAUCUUAUAUCCAAUGGAUCCACCUUCCUCCUCCCUUGUCGCCCAGCCAAUAUACUGUAAUACACCACAACAACACAUGUAAUCAAUUCAAUGCCCGCAAAACUAUUUCUAAAUUCCUAUAUAUAAUAUCUAUAAUUCAUUAAUUAAUUUAAUUUAGAAUUGUUAACAAAAAUAACAGACAGAAUAAACUUCAUUAAAUAAGAACAAUAAAAAUUAAUUGCAGUAAAAUUGAAAUACCUAGCUUUUGGAGAAUUGGAAGAAGAUAAUCCAUCUCCGUUAACGCCGUCAAUUCUCUCUCUUGAACUAACACCGUCACGUUCCUUCUCUUUCUCUCUAGGCGACGGUAUCCGCGAAUCAGCGUCACCAGAAUGAACAGGUAACGGGAGGGGCAAAGGAACAGGAACCGACGACGACAAUCUAGGAGGCACAACAGCAGCAGCAGCACAUGAAGAACCACUCAGCGCAGCCGCUGUCGUCUCCGCCGAAGAUUUGACAGCGGCGGUUGCGGUGGAGGAAGAAGCUCUAUUAUUCUGUCCUGCUGUCGCUGUUGCUGCUGCCGGUGCUGCGGUGACGUCAUUUUCAGUAAAAUAUCGUAACUUCCUGUGACGCGUGCCGAAACGGAAACCUAAACCACCGCCUCGAAGAUAACUUCGAUGAUGAUGUUUCGAAGAAAAAUUAUGAUCACCAGUAGUAGCUGAAGAUGAUGCGGAAGAUGAGAGAACAGGUUUCGGCGACGAAGGCGUGGAAUUAUUAUUAUUAUUAUUAUUAUUAUUAUAAGCAGAGAAGGAAAUAUUUUGAAGCCAACGCAUGGCGAGAGAUACUGGAAAUGAGAUUAGUAAUGUUAAUUGUAAAGAUCAUGGUGAUUCUAAUUCACCACAGUCGCCGGUUUAGAGAAUUGAAUUGUGCAAACAUCUGAAAUCCAUAUCCCUCCCCGGUUCCCAAACGCGGAGGAAGAAAGAACGAAGGAAAGGGAAAGAGAGUGGAAGAUUAAAUUAAUGAUUGAUUGACGACGUAGAUGAUGUUCUUUACAAUUGGAUUUACCUGCACUGUAAGGUAACCAAGUCAAGGUGUUUGUUUGUUUCUCUCUCUUCCUCUCUUUCUCUCUCUUAUCUUGUUUGUUUGUUCGUUUGCUAGAGAGAAAAAGAGAGAGGAGACGGGAGGGAAAGUAACUAAAUUGUAUGUGAGAAAGCCGUUAAUUUAUUGUUUGUUUGUUGUGUAAUACUACUAUACAUGGAAAUGGCUUCGUGUAUUUGUCGCGUGUUUGUUUGAUUUCUAAUUAACUACUAACCAUCUUUUUAAAAAAAUAAUAAUAAUCAAACUACUAACCAUCUUUAUUCUUAAAAUAAAAUUAGCAAUUAGCCAUGCCAUCUUUAACUAAAUUGGAUUCAAUUACUAUUCCCAUAAACAUGAGACUUGAUCGAUUUUAUUUUAAUUUUAUUGAAAGAUAAAUUCAGAAUGUGAUGUAUAAUUAAUAAUUAUAUAAAAAUUUCAUGUUAAUCAACUAAUUAACAUUUGUGAAAUUUACUAUACACUAUUAUUUAUAAAAAAUUUAUAAUUUUUUAUAGAUUCUAAUAAAUUAUUACAAUAAAAAAAAGUUUGACUCUUCUAUUAAUUAAAUACAUAAAAUAUAAUUGAUAGUAUGUCAUAUAAGAUGAAAAGAUUAUUAAUUUAUCAAUCAAUAUAUUAUUAUAGUUAAAUUAGCUUAAAAUUAAAAAUAAAGGUAAUUUAUAAUCUAACCAUAUAUAGUAUGUGAUUGUUUCUUUUAAUUAAUUAAUUGUUGGAACCACAUUCUUCCAACCCAACUAUAUCAAUUAUAUAAAAUUGCAUUUUGUUGACAAACUAGAUAUAUGGAGACAGGCCAAAGAGUCCAAGUACAAUUAUUAGAAUUUAUUGAUUACUUCAAUUUUUUAAUAAGAAAGGAUAACUUAUUUAAACCCUAAGUUUCAAUAUUUAGUCCAUAAAGUGGCUUAAUUCCUCUCUUUUAAUACAAUAUAUCUUUAGAAAAAUUACUAAUAAUAUGUGAUUUUUAUUUCUCUAGAAUUAGUGAAACCUGUGAGAAGUUACAUGCAAGUCAUGAUGCUUCAAUGAAUCAUGUGUAAGGAAUCUACAACAGUAGAGAGACAAUGUAUUUUGGAAUGCCUCAAAUUUUCAACAUUUAUAAUGUAUUUAUGUUUUCGUAACUUAUCUUUCAACGUUUAGAGUUAAUCUAGAGCAUAUCGAUUAGGAUUUUUACAUUAACAAAGUAUUAUUUUAAAAGUUUUAACAUAACUGCAUACUCAAAGCUCGAAUUACACAUUUUAAUUAAACUAAAAAAAAAAACUCUACUUUUUAACUAUUUUAUUUAUUAAAUUUAAAAUAAAAUUUAAUUAUCCCAUAAAAAACAAAAUGGAAAACCUCUUCAAUUUGUUUAAACUUUUUUUAUUCUUCUCUUCUAAAAUAGAAAGUAAAACCUUUUCAAUCAUCUCUUAAUUUGCCACUUUUUUUUAGAACCUUUAAAAGUGGAGAAUACUUGAAUAAAUUUUUAAUUUCUUUUCCCUUAUUCUCUUUAAAUGAUUUAUAUUUUAUUAAUAAGUAAAUUAAAAAAGAAUGUAAAAUAUAUAUAAUAUUAUUGGAAUGUAUAUAAAAUAGAGUGCUAAAUUAUUUAUCAUCUAAUAAAGAGUAAAAUAAAAAAACUAUUGUUUAAAAUGCUCUUAUUACUUACUUUUCUAAUGAAAAUUUACAAUACAUUUUCAAUUAAUUAAAUCAUAAAUCUUAAAUAAUAUUUAGUUAAAAUUCAUAAAAUUUAUAGGGUUAAUUUAUAAAUUUAAAAUUUAUAUAUUAUGAAUAAAGUGAGAGUUAAUUUAAAAUUUUACAUAAUAAAAUUUAUGUAGAAUUAGUUAUAUCUAAACUUUAAUUCUAACAAAUUUAGAUAAAAUUUGUAAAUAAAUUUCAUAUUAGCAAAUAAAUACAUUCCAUAACAUCAAAGAGUUUUUCAAUUCCAUUGUCUUAUUUUUACUUUCUUAUGUCUUUUUUUAAAUAAAAUAAAUUUUUUAAUAAUUUUCAACAAAAUAGGGUAUUAUUUCUCUUAACAAUCAAUAAAACAUAGUAUUAAUCUCAAUUUAUUAAAUAAAAUUAUUCACAUGUGUCAUGAGUGGGCAAACAUGAAAAGUUGCUAAUUUUUUAUAUAUGUUUUUUUUUUUCUUGGUCGUAUAGAUUGAAAACCUUCAUGAUAUAUAGAGAAUAACAAGAUAUAUAUAUAUAUAUAAGGCUCCAAUUUGCUUAUUUAUUUCCAAAUGUUCUAAAAUAUGUCAACCUAUUGUGCUUAAAAUAUGAUUAUGAAUUGAUUAAAAAAAAUAAAAAGGAUUUUUAUCAUACACUUGAUGGGGACAUAUACCUUUUUAUCAAAAAAAAAAUAUAAAAAAUAAAAGGNNNNNNNNNNNNNNNNNNNNNNNNNNNNNNNNNNNNNNNNNNNNNNNNNNNNNNNNNNNNNNNNNNNNNNNNNNNNNNNNNNNNNNNNNNNNNNNNNNNNNNNAGAGCAGUAAAAUGUGUUUUUUCUUUUUCAUUUUUGAAUUUUGGUGAAAGAACCUUCUAUAACUAAUUUCAUCACCUUUAUUUAAGAAUUAUAAUAAUCCCAGUCAGUCAAAUUGGAUUAAUUGAGUUUGUUAUGAUUUUAUGUUGUAUAUGACUUUAUUUAAGAGAUUUUGACUUGGUCUAGGAUGAAACAUAUCUUAAAUUGACGUGUCCUUUUUAAUUAGUGCCCCCACCAUAUUGUCAGUCCAACUUGGAUUAAUUUCUUUUUCUUUUUUUAACAUUUGGAAUGCAUAUAGCUUCAUUCCAAAUUAAUUAAAGAUUUUAUUCAGGUUGAGGAAAAUAUUUGAAUAAAAUUAUUUAUUUUUAAUACAAGUUAAUUAUAAAUUUAAGGUCUACUCUUUCAAAGCCUCAGUAAAAACCAGACGCUUGUUUUAAUUUUUACAAACAAAUUGUUAAAUUUUAUUAAAAAAUUAAUUUUGUUGAUUGAGUUUAAGGCUUAGAAUUUCAAGGAUCAACAUAACUUCAAUUUAGUAUUUAAAAAUAAUUAAUCUCGAAUUUUAAAACUUUAGCACCGUCAUGAUCAACUACUAUUUCGAGUUAUGAUAAUUACUUUAGUUAAAUCAUACUAAAACUAUUAAGUCUUAUUAAAAUUAUUUAUCUUAAUAAAAUAGAAAUAUCUUUCUAAUUAAGGAAUUAAUUAUUUAUUUUUUUGACUAAAUUGAUUAACAAUGACAAUCAACAAAGCGGUACUUUAGUAUGGAUUUAUCAGUGUAAUAUGCUAAACCUCAAGGAUUAAAUGACAUAUAAAAAAUGAUUUUACCCUUUAUAUGUUAUUUAAUAGCCCUUUUUUAUUAAGAAAAGAAAAGGAGAAUAAUAGUUAAUAAAUGAUAUUGGUGUGAUAUGAUACCAAAUGAAAAACCAAGUCAUUAAAUUGACUUGCUGCUGCUUUGAUUUGUUCCAUCCGCAUUAUUAUUACAACUGUCAUCAUGCAAACUAAAUAUAACAACAGACCAAAUUAAUGUCCUCGUAAAAUAAUAAACUCCAUCCUAAGAAAAAUACCAUUAAAAGGAAUUAAGUUGCAAGUAUUUAUGUUUUUUUGUAAAAUACUUAGGUUACGUUUUAAUUAGAUCUCUUCUAUUUAAUCCGAAGGUUAAUACUGCAAUGAUAAGUUUAGACCCAUUUCAAGUUAGCAAUGACUACUAUAAAUAUUUUGCAACAGAAAAGAAAUAUGUAUAGUUCACACACAACAGGAGUUGUUACAAUCGAUCGCCCCUCGACCCCAUUUAUCUGACCAAAAAAUAUGCUAGAAAAAAUGAUCUCGAAGACUUCUUACUUCUUAGUAUGUCACUUCGCCAACUGAUAUGAAAAGUCGAUGAUCCACUACCUGUGGAAACUCUAUUCCAUAAAAGCAAUAUUGUUUAUUUUUCUCUUAUUAACAUACAAUUGACAAUUGGGUUUUAAUGAUCAUAGCAACACCACUUGUUACAAAAGGCUUAGGAUUACGAAUGGUCAUGCGACUGGAAAUGGAAAUGCUGUAAGACUCAGGAAGAAAUGAAGGAAAGAUAUAAAAGCUACCCGUAGCAUUACAAAUUGAAUUUUCAUACGCAUCCAGUGUACUAUCUGUUGAAAGAAACCAACAUAAAAGGGUGAACAGAACAGCCAUCUCAUUCUUGCAUGUGCCGCUUACGACAAAGGAUGAUUUCACAAUAACCAACUUUCUUUCCUUACCAACUGCCUGAAGUAAGAGCUGGGUAAACACAGUCAUCACAACAUGCCUAAUGAAUUCAUGCAUGCCAUACUAUGCUUUAAAGAUUGUUGUCCUCAUUCAAUUUUGGCAACCUCGGGCAAGAAACAAAACACAAUUAUUCUUCCAAGGGUUUAACCUGCAGUGAUUGCAGGCGUGCACUCAAAUGACUAUGCUUGUGCUGGUUCCGGUUCCGGUUCUGUUUCUGGUUCUGUUUCUGGUUCUGGGCUUUCCAAGUCUGUUGAUACAAUCUUACAUAUAGGAAUGUUCUCAUUCUUACUCAAGAGCUUCAAUGAUGGAUGAACCUCAACAUCACCCAUGGACACUUUAUCUCCAAUAUCAAGACUGCUCACAUCCACCUCAAGUUUUGGUGGAAUGUGUUCCGCUGGACAAAGGACUUUCAAAGAUUUUCGGAUCCUGUUCAAUUUGCCCCCUGUUUAAGCAUAAAAAGUAAAGUGAGAAAUAUAUCUGACAAAUAAACAUAUAACAGGAGCUUAUAAUAAGGUAAAAAGAAAUUACAGCUACUCCAGCUUAUGCUAACAUAAUGAUUAUGGACAUCAAUUGGUAAGAAGCUUACAAACACUUUAACUCCUAGAACUAAAAGGCUAGAAAUUCCAUUUAACUAACAGAAGUGAUAUUUACGUAAUAGAGCCUGAAAAACCAACUUCGACAGUAAAAUUGAACAGGAUAUCCAGCACAUCUCUUUCUUCCUCAGCCACCAAUUUGUUUCUUCUAAGUCUCAAAAGAAAUCAUUUGGAUGUAUGUGCAUUAUAUCAACUGAAAAUGCUCCCAAAACGCAUUUCAAGCAAAUCUCUAUUUUCUCCCCCUCAUUUUUGCUUGUUUUUGUUUGGGGUGUAUAUCACUAAAGAAAAUCAUCCUUCACAUAGUAGCAGAGUGUAACUUCCAUAAAUGAAAAGCAAUCAAUGGUAAAUUUCUUAAAUGCAGCCUACCACCCAAGCAUGAAAAUGAUGUAUUCAAACACCAUAAGCACUAAUCCCAAACCCAUAUAUAAGACCAAGGAUAAGAGAUGACAAAGGUAUAGUGAAAUUUUCCUGAUGUCCUUAGGAUAUAAAAUGCUGGUAAAUUUGGUGACUUGCUAUGGCAGAGGGCCAACAAUAUUGAUAUCAUGUCAUGGCUUCAAAACCUUAAAGAAUUGGAAAUGUGGAAUAGAUGAUAACCACAUAAGAAAAUGAAAAUUGAAAGUGGAAAAUAAAAAAUGCUUGCAUUCUUAGGGUUAUCCGCUGCAAAGAAGAGUGCUGCAAUGUGUUGGCUAACAGUGAAAGAGGAAGAAAAUCAGAGAUGAGACAUCAGCGUAUGAAACUAUGGAAGAGGGUAUAUGGCAGGGUAGGAGAAACACAUCUCUCCACAUGCAAAAGCAUGAAGAAGAAGGCACGCCAAGAAGAUUAGGGCCCCUUGCUUGAUCUUAUGUUAAGAGUUCAAACUAGUUAGUGUCUAUGUUAUUAAUCUUAGUCCUGAUGCCCAUGCAGGUGUAACAAUCUGAUUUCUUUAGACCCCUAAUUACCUUGCUUCUAGAAAGUUUCAGCAAGCUCCAACAACAUCUUUUCCUAAAUUUGCAGAAAGCAUGAUUCAAUAUACAAAACUAGAACCUUCUCUAAAGUUUCCAUGCCGAAAUUCCUAAUCUUUUUAAUAUCCUAAACCAUCAAGAAUGCCAAGUCAGUAAAUUUGUAUUUUUCUGGCUUAACUAUAUAGAUACCGAAUUCGAGAAGUAUAAUUGAUAUGUAUCUACAGUACAAUAUUUGAUGUGUGCAUAGUCUCAAGAACCCAACAGCAUAAAAGCAAGAACUUGAAGAAGGCAAAAAAAAAAUACCUUUCUUAAGACCAGGACAAUCCUCUUCUCCUUUAAAAAUGAGGGGUACAUCAACUUUCAAUUCAGUUCCAUCAUCAGCCCAAACAAACACCAAAUUCAAUAUUUUCCCAGUCUCCUCAUCUCUAUGCACCUAUCACAAUCCAAUUUAAAACAAUAUCUGUCAACAAGUUUUCGGGCAAUGAACAAUUAGCUUCAAAAUACAUUUCCUAUCCACUUUACUCCAAAACUUCUUAAAUGUGGCCAAUUAGGUCCAAUUCAGUAUUGAACACAUUGAUCCAAAAGUUAGACCAAAUUGGCUAAAUUGUCAAAGUCAUCGAGUAUUAUGCCAAAAACAAAACUCAAAGGGCAAUUCACACAUAUAAGCCAUAUAUCAAAUUGAACAACAACAACAAUCAGUCAAGUUAUAUUAGGAAUUAUUCUCCAAAAGAAAAAAAAAGUUAAACUAAAAAAUUUACCUUGAUGGGCAAAAUAGUUCCGGAUUCAAUAAGAACGGAAGACCCGGACCCGGCCCGGAUCUGGAGAUUGAAAGUAGUGGAGCAAAAGAACGGUAACUCAACAGAUGUAAGAAUUGAUUGAAUCUGCUUUCUCUCAGUUGUUAAUAACUGUUUUCUUGAGAUUGAUCGAGAAUUAGGAUUUUUAUCUAGUAGCGAUUGAGAGAAAACCACUGCCGGUAUUCUGCCUUGCGCUCGGUCGCGCGCCGCGACUCUGCUACCUGUGCAUUCUCUAGGGAUGGCUUGGAUCGUGUGGUAAAAAGAAGAUUGUGAGUUUAGUGAAGGUGAUGAUGAUUGAACCACCGUUUUAAGGCCGCGCAACCACUUGGCCAUGGAUUUUUCUUUUGUUGGCAAUUAAAAUUGGUCAGGGUUAGGGUUUUUGAGUUUUUGAAUUCAGGGUUUAAGGUAUGGGGAAAACUGAUUUGGAUUUUAAUUUGGGCCUGUUCGCCUCGGACAGAACUCAGGAGUUUUCUGGUAUUAUUCAUUUGGGCCAUGCUUGUUGCUCUUUCAUCCAAUUGUCAUUUUAUUUUAUUUUCAUGCUUUCUGCUUUUGUUGGAUAAAAGCAUGGAGAGUAAAUCUUGCAAAAAGAAAAAAAAGGUUUCAGUUGUUUUAUUUAAAAAGAUUAAUCAGAAGGACUGAAUUGUUUAAAAUAAAAGUUUUGAUAUAUAAAAUUGCCAAAUAUUUAUUUGUUGUUAAUGAAGAAAAAUAGAGGAACACUCCAAUCAAUCAAUCAAUUGAGAAUUGAAGAUUCCCUUUUGGCUCAUUGAGUGUAUUAUAGUUGCAUGCUUUGUUUCUUUUUUUAUCCAAUUGUCUUUUCAAUUUUAGUCUUUGUGUGUUUUUUACUUUGCUGGAGAGGACAAUAAAAGAAAUAGCAAAAAUGUUUAAGCAAAAGUUAGAGCAUAUUGAAAAACGUGGUCAAUGGGCCUACGGCCCUACUCUACACGCACACACAAAUUUAAAAAAUUAAAAUAAAGGUGAAAAAGGUCAACAUGAUUCCUAUAUCUUAUUCUUUUUGCGUUUUAUUUGUUGAAAUAAUUGUACGGGACAUGAUUUUUUAAAAGAAAAUUAUCUUUACGAAUUAUCUUUUAAUUUUUAAUUUUAUAAAUAAAUAAAAAAAUAUAACUAAAAUAUAUUUAAAAAAAUUAUUUAAUUUAUAUUAUUGUAAAACCAGUUAAAUAAAAUAGAUUUAUUAUUUAUUUCACAUAUUUUUAUAUUUAGUAUUCAUGGAUUGAAUAAUAUUAUAUAUUUUUUUUAUAAUUGAUAUGUUUUAAUGAUGUAAAAAUAUGUAUUUUAAAAAAUAUCAAAAUUAUAAAAAGAAAUAUACUAAAAUACAAUAAAAUUAAAAAAAAAAUCAUCUAAGGAUGCCAAUAAAAAUAUAAUUUCUACAUUGCAAUAUAUAUAGAAAUUAGGAAAUUAUUAGAAUACGUGGAUAUUAAAAAAAAAUAUAAUCUUAUUUAUAUUAUUGAUUCGAUUAGAUUUAACUGAAUUUUUAUUUUCUUAAAAAAAAUCACAUCAUUGAAUUAUAGGAAUUAUCAAACCGUAACCAAAACUAUAAAACCAUGAUUUUUGUUUUGAAUUGAAUUGAUGAAUUUAAUCAGUCCAGUUUAGUUAAUUUUUGUAUAGCCCAUAAAUUUUUAUAUAGAUGUAACAUAAUUACGAUGCGGACGGUUAGUAUUAAUUUAAAUUUAAAAAUUAAGCCUUUACUUUUUAUUUAAAUAAAUUAUUUUUGGCUUCCAAUUCAGUUUCGCUUUCGCAUUAGGACUUGUUUAACCGACCGAUUUCUUAUAUAUAUAUUGACGAAGCUAUUGAAAAUACAAAAAGAUGGAGAGCCACACAUUUCACUGCCACCCUUAUGCAGAACGUGUACAAAUGUGUCAAUCGCUGAAUGGUAGUCAUUUUGUUUUCCAUUUAAUAGAUAUAGAUACACCCACAGAAAAUCAUCAUUUCUUUUCUUCUUCUUUUCUUUUUUUUCUAAAAUAAUAGAGCUUUAAGCAAAUGGAAUUAAGUGAACAAAUUAAGAAGAAAGGCAUGCAAACCUUGUUUCUACUUAAUUAGGAAAAAAACACAACAUAAUUACAUGAGAAAGUCAGAAAAGAGAGGUGGGUUUGCUUGAUUUUCAUAAUAGUACAGCUAAAACAAAAAUGUAUUGUGAUGUGUUCAUAAUUAUAUGUCGGAUUCCCACUAUAAAUUAGUAGUAAUUGCUGCUGUUAAUUAAAUGGGUAUAAACAGAUUUGCAGUAUAUUUAAAGAGCAAUUAAUGGCAGCAAGUACGGAUUCUAUGUGAAUUAUUAUUAGUGGUCACUGUAGUAAGCAAAUAAUUUCAGCAAUCCAAUUGAUAUCAGUUUAAUUCAAAUUUCUUGUGAAUGAUAGUAAUAGAUUUUGUUUUCUUAUAUUAAAAAAAAAAAAAAGGCAUAAGAACUGUCAAUUACCUGUCAAGAAGAAGGACCUAGGGCAUGGCAGAAUCCCCCUCUGAAAGUGUAUUUACAUAAAGAGAUUUCAAACAAAUUCCAAACUAGAAUCAAGAGUUGAGAUAGGAGAUGAAAAGGGUUCAUAAUGGGGUAUGCAUUUAACAUCCUGACAAGUUAUAUGAUAAUUUCAGAACAUUCAAGCCUGUGUAUUAAAUACUAAAACAGAUUUAUUUUAUUUCUUUUUAUGAAAUAAAAAAAGAGGGAAAGGAAUUCAUUAUGGAUUUUAUAAAUUUUUUAUCUUGAAAUAAAUUCAUAUUAUGGUUUUAUUUUGAAAAAAAUCUUUAGAUUUUUUGAAUGAAAGAUCUCUUUUUCCUGAAUAAGUUUUUUUUUUUGAAAUCCAAGUUGUUGAUUUUGAUUUUGUAUUUUCAAAUACAUAUAUUGUUCCAUCGCAUGAUAAUAAGAUUCAUUUUGUAUUUUAAAAUCCAAUCUCUCAAACUCACUUAUUAAUUAUUAAUUAUGAUAAUUUAAUAAAAUAAAUAUUAUUGCUGUUUAAAGUAUGGAUACAACAAGCUCUCAAGUAAAUAUAUCACUGCUUGCAUGUACCCAACUAUUAGAUGAGUGAAAAUACAUUUAAGUUUACCACACUUAAUUUAAAUUUUAUAAUAAUUAUGUAUUUAUUAUUUAUCUAGCCAUUGAGUUUGAUACACUCAAUGAAUUAAGUUAUGCAACAAUAUAAUUUAAAAAGAAAAAAGAUAUUCCUUUACAGGAAAUUAGUAUGAUUAACUUUUACUUAUAAUCUAAUUAAAACAAGGUAAUUCUUGUAGCCAAACAAAAAAGAAAAAAAUGGUAAGCAUGAUUUGCGAUGAUCUAAACAAAUUGAGAAAUAAAUAUACAUAUCACGUUUUCUUUAUAUAAAUUAAAAUUGGGAAAUUUAACUAGAGGCCAGGAUUUUCAAAGUGUUUUAUAUAUAUAUUUAAAAAAAUUAUAUAAAAAUGAAAAGAAAAUUAUAGAUAAAAACAAAAGAGGAAAAGAAAAGCCACAACCACCAAAAGAAUAUGUAUUAAAAAACUAGUCCUAUAUAACAAGCAAUUGAAUAGGCUCUGCAGAACAUCAACAGCAACAUCAGAAGUAGUAGCAGACACAACAAGCAUAACACAAGCUCUUUUACAUACCCAUUCCUCCUUUUUGUCUCCUCAGGUUUUUUUUUUUUUUUUUUUUUUUUUGUGGGUUCACUCAGGUUUCUUUAAAGCCCUUCUUUAGGGUCCCUCUCUUUGUCUGACCUCACUAGCCUCUUUCACUUCUCUCUGUUUACACCUGUAUAAGCCCUUCUGUUAACAUUUGUACGUUAAUCUUUUUUUUUUUUGUUUUGUUUUGCUUUUCAAAGAUUAUUUUACCAUUUAUACCCUUUCUUUUUGUAAUCUUUCUUCUGGUAUAUUCAUAUAUAUGGAAAGGUCGAUCUUGAUCUUGUUGUUUUAGGUGGUCCGAAGAUCAAGGGAUUUUUAGUAUUUUCAGUUUUGGCAAGCAAGAAAAAGGAAAAAUAAUGCAUCUUUCAAGAUCCAUUUAGGAACCUUUUUUGUUUUCUUGAAUUUCAUGAUGAUGAUGAUGAUGAUGAUGGUGAUGGUGAUGGUGAUAAAGAAGAAGAAGACAGAGACAGAGACAGCUAUAUAGAGACACACAGACAGAGUUUAUCAAUAAAAUUUCUCUUCUUUUCCGUUUUAUAUUUUCCUGGUAAAUUUAGAUCGAUCCACUUUGUAGUUAUUGAAUCAUCUUCCUUUGUUUUUCUUCUUCUAUCUAUUUGUAUUUCUCAUAUAGAUAUACAUAUAUUUCUUCUCUUGAAGUUAUUUUCUUGACUUUCUUUUUUUCAAGAAAAAGGCUUAUGGGUAUAGUUUUACUGUAACUACUUUUUUUGAAUUUGAAAUACUUGAUUACCUUUCACCCAAAAAAAUAUAUUUGAUUAGCCCUAUCUUUCAUAUUUUUAUUUUGUUAUAUUGAUUAUUAUCAGUUUUAAUAAUAAUAAUAAAAAUGGCGAUCACAUCACCUCCUUUUCCUAGAAUCAAUAAAAGAAGGUUCCUUGAAUCCUCCAUCCAUGCAUUUUUCUCAGUGAUUUCUCUUUUCGAUGUCUCCUUCGUGUGUCCUUUUUUUAUACAUUUUCUUUUUGUUAUUACAUGUUGAUAUAUUAUUUAAAUAUAAUAACUCUGAUUUUUCUUGUUCAAGAUUCUUUCUUUACCAGGUUUCUAUUUAAAAGGUUUGAUCUUUUUCUAAAAGGUUUGAUUUUAUUUCGAUUACAGAGAAAAUGUCAACACCAAUUUCACCAUGUGCAGCUUGCAAACUUCAAAGGCGAAAAUGCACUCAAGACUGCGUAUUUGCACCAUAUUUCCCACCAGAUCAGCCUCAAAAGUUUGCUAAUUUACACAAAGUAUUUGGGGCAAGCAAUGUGGCUAAACUUCUCAAUGAACUCAACACAGCACAACGCGAAGAUGCUGUGAAUUCUCUUGCUUAUGAAGCAGAAGCUCGUCUUCGCGACCCGGUAUAUGGCUGUGUUGGUCUAAUUUCAAUCCUUCAACACAGGCUAAAAGAAUUGCAAAGUGAUCUUUAUAAUGCCAAGAAAGAACUUGCACAGUAUAUCGGUCCUCAAGCAAUGCUUACUACACUUCCAGCCCCAACUUUUAUGGGUCAACCGCAUCUGGGUAAUCCAUCUUCCUCGCUGAUUCAACAUAACGCAUUGCCUAUUAUGGGCGGCAUACCUGCUGGGACCGUACAUGGCCAUGGCGGGCCAUUGAUGAUACGCGAGCCCCAGCAGCAGCAACAGCAGCAUCAAAUCUUUGAGGCUCAACAGUUGGCUGCUGCUUUGGCUGCAAGAGAGCAGCAAGAAAUGCUUAGGGCUUAUGAGCAGCAGCAGCAGCAGCAGCAAGAGAUUGUGAGGUUUAAUAGGGGUUAUGAUGUGCAAGAUCCAGUUCAUAAUAAUACCGCCGGGUUUAAUCAGAUUACUGUUGCUGCAAUGUCACCUUCUUUAGCUUUAGGAAGUUUUGAUACUCCUUAUCAGAUUCAGUCACAGCCAUUGGAUCAUCAGCAGCAGCACCAGCUUCAAGCACAGCUUUUUCUUCAGCCAACAAAGGUAGAGACUCCGCCACAACAACAGCAUCAGUUUCAACAAACCCAACAACAGCAGCAGCAGCAGCAACGGUCUGGAAGUGAUGAGGGUGGGAGCAUAGGCCCAUCUUGUUGAUGUUACUUUUGUUUUGUUUUAUUAUUUUACCAGCUCUUCAUCUGCCACUUAUUCUAAUUCCUUUGAAGCAAAUUUCCAUUCUAGUUAGGUACGUAAUCUCUUACUUUCUUUGGGUGGUGGUGGUGGGUGGUAUUGUGCUCGUGCACAUGAGUGUUUCAGUCUCAAGAAUCACUAAAAAAUGCUUAGUAUUUAUGUAUGCUUUCUAUGCUUUUAUGUGAAAUCUGGUCUGUUUUUUCACAAAUGGGGCAAUUUCGUUUGGUAGCAUUAGAAAGCUACAAUUACUAUCUAUUGCAUAGUGCAAAAAGAAUUGGUUGGUAUGAAGAAUUAUUGUCUUUUCACUGCAGAGGAUAUAUCCCUUUAUCAAUUAUACCUUUCACCUACACUUUCUUUGUCUUGACCUAGUUCUUAUUGAUGAAUAAUUUUGCUUUGGUACUACUUAUAUAUAUUAUGUUUGAAAAGAAAAAAAUUAAAUCAUGAAUUUAAUUGAAAAUGAUGAUUUCUUGUAUUUAGUCAAAUGCAUGUAUAAUUUGUAGAAGUUUGUUAAGACUAGAACUUUGUACUACCCAUGUGAGAAAAGUGAGUAUUUUUCUGUUCUUGGGAAGAGACAAAACCUGAGGUAGCUACAUGGCUUUUAUGAAAUAUUUAGUUGCCCUAAUUCAGAUCACUAAAUUGACCAGUGCACAUGAUUAUAAUUUGUUCAUUGUGUGAGCACAAAUUGUCGAGCUUCAAACUAUUCGUCUUGCUCCUUUGUUCUACCAUUUUUACUUUACUAUGCACCUCCUCAUUGACAAAUAACUCACAACACCAUGAAAUUAUUCCCAGAUGAAAAAACAUAUAUAUAUAUAUAUAUCUUUUAGAAAUAUCUUUGAGAUCAUAUGGGCAUCAGCAUGAAUUUAUGAUAAAAUUAGAAAGCAUAUUCUGAAGAGUCUUUCAAUUGCCUUUUUGUUUUAUUUUUUCUUUUCUUCCCUUUGUGCAGGUCAUAAAUGCCAGAUGCAAAUGAACAUAAAGAGAGAGAAAGAGAGAUUAAUUAACAACUGUGAUCUGAAGUCAGCAUUAUUAAUUUUUGGGGUUUGAAGAAGAAGAAGAGGAAGAAGAAGACUUUGUGGGAAGUGAUAACAUUUUGAAAUGUAGGAUCUGCAUUGAAUUUCGAGUACAGCUCUUUUCCUUUUUCAUUUGGUAGAGAGAUUAGAGAUGCUUAGUCCUUUUUUUAUUGCAAAAACUAUGCUUAACCAUAUAUAUGUAUAUCAGAACUUAUUAAGUUCUUUGUCUAAAGCUUUUAUAACCAAAAUUAUUAGUGGAUAUGAAUUGAGUGAUAUUUGCUCAUGGGCAUGUUUUGAAUUCUGUUUAUAUAUAUAUAUAUAUAUAUAUAUAUAUAUAUAUAUAUAUAUAUAUAUAUAUAUAUAUAUAUAUAUAUAUAUAUUUGUCUAUGUUUAUUAUCUGAUUUAGUUUACAUUAAAUUAUAGUUGCUUAUAUAAUUAGCUUUUUUCUUUUUCUUUAUACUAUGCUCUAUGAACAGUUUUUUAAAAAUCGGUAAUAUAACGAAAUGGUACGACUAAAUUCAAAGUAUUUUGCCGCCCUUUAUAAUUCGAUAGAAUUUGAUGAUUCUUAUAUUUUUCAUUAUCCAUUCUAGAAAUAAUUAAUAAUUUUAAAAAUAUUAAAUAGAAUUAAUUUAAUAAAUUAAUAUAAAUAUUAAAUAUAAAUAAAAUAAAUAGAAUUAAGAAUUAAUAAAUUAAUAUAAAAUAAAUAUUUUUAAAUAAAUAGCAUAACUAUAAUUAUUAUAUAUGACGGUCAUUAUAUAAUAAUUAAAAUUAUGCUAUUUACUUUGUUUAAUCCUUGUCAGAUAUAAAAAUAAAAGUUUGUGGAAAGAAGGUGAAUAAUAGUUUUUUUUUUUUUUGUCUUUUGUGAGGGUGGGAUGAAAAAUACCUUAUUUACAAUAUAAUUCAGUUAAUGAGAGAGAGGGAGAGAGAUUAAGAAGAAAGCUUUGCUUUAAUCAGUUUGUUUUCAAUUCAUGAAUGUUAUUUCUUCUAAGGCUGGUAAUUUUGACACAAUCAUUUUAAAUGAUACAAUAUGAUAUAAAAAUAGAUUACGACCUAUUUAUAACACGUCAAAAGAAUUAGAUUUGAAUAUAUAGAUAUGCUUAAUCUGUUAAAAUUUGAAAUAAUACAUAUAAUAAUUCAUAUUAAUAUAUAAACUUGUAAUAUAACACGUAUGAAUACGAAUAAAUAUAAAUAACUUAAUGAUUAAUAAAUUUUAUGCAUUUAAAAUUUAUGAUUGUAAUAUUAAAUAUGAUAAAAAAAAUAUGAAAUUGCUUAAAGAAAGAGGAAGGGAAAUUCUCCUCCUUAUAAAAGAAGGAAAUACAUCACUUUUCUACUUAAAAAAUAGUGUAGAGUAAUUUAAAAGUUCCAAAUUUGGAUUUGUUCAAAUUUUUUUGAAAAAUACUCUUCAAGUGUUAAAAAAAAUUAAUUAAUUUAACGAAUUAUAGAGGUUGUGUCGUACAACCCGCUUAACAAAUGUGCGCUUGUGUGAGGUGUAAAAUCUUGACAAACUCAAUUGAAUGAGUUGUAUUAAUCAUUUUUAUAUCAUGCAUAUAUCUUGACACGACACAAUUAUACAUAAUUAUAUUAAUUUUCAUUUUUAACAUCUGAAGAUGUCGAAGUGAUUAGGAAGCUUAUUUCUAGAGAAAAUAAACUAUAGCAUUGAUUUAAUCUUCUUGAAGUUUAAGAAUUUAUAGCCUAAAUACAUUUUAAGUUAAUUUUAUAAAAGGAAUUGAAUUAAAUUAACCAUAUGAUAAGGGAUUCUUUUUUUUUUUUUUUAAAGGAGUAGUUUAUAUCAUCUUGGAAUUGUUAUAUUCAAUCUGGGUUCAGCUCAUAGAUUUCAUAUGUGACCAUGUGCUUGGUAGUACUGUAGUUGUCAUUAUAAGAUUGAUCUAUUUUAAGUACCAUUGACUACCAUUGAAAUUUGAAUGUAGAAAGUAUAUUUAGUAUGUAUAAUAUUUUUAUAGUUCAUUUAUUGUCUAAGUUUGAACUGUCAUUUCCCUGUAAGCAGCCUUGAUUUAUUUACUUAAAGGCUGGCUUUGCCUUCAUGAGAAGGAAGCAAGGACUAUUGUUUAUACCUUGUUUGGGAUCUCUAAAAGAAAAAUAAAAAAAAAGCAAUAUAUAUAUAUACAUAUAUAAAAAGGGCUGGUUUUGCCUUGAUCAGAAUCAGAUCAAUUAUUGACUGAAAAAUACCAACUCUUCAUAUUAACUACAGAAGCUGUACGUUGGUUGUAUAGGAAGUAAUCAUUGAAGUCAAAUCCGUAAUUAGAUGGCUUUGAUCCUUUUACCUAAUUAAAAUAAUCAAACAGGAGCAAAAGGAAAAUUAGAACAACAUGCUUUCUUUUUGUCUAGAUUAUGAGGUUUUUCUACAUUUGCUGCUUACAUUGGCCCUAUAUAGAGUCGAGACAAAUACUAAAUCCACUGACUAUUUUUUAUAUGUCCAAACUACCUUUGAAUUAAUAGCUAUAGAUACACAUUGAUCGGUCCAAAUUAUAUAUAGAUAUUUAAUGGUAUUUUAAAGCUUUAAUGAUAUAUUUCUAUAUAUUAAAUGGUGAAAAUAUGUGUUUUGACCUCACUUAACCUUAAUUGUCUAUUUUCAGGAAUAUUAGUAAAAAGAGGAAAAUAUGGAGCUAAAAGAAGCUUAAUUGGACAUAUUUGUAUCAAGGCCCAAGAUUAAGACGCAUGGACUGCUAAUUAUAAGGCCCAAUGGAUAUUUUAGUCAUUUUGUAUAAUUAUUAAAAUUUAUAUUAAAAGUUAUUUAUGAGAUAGUAUUUAGUGGAGAUUAAGAUACCUAAAGUCUUAUCUAUUAGAUAGACUUAUAAUAGUAUACUAAUCUCUAGAGAUUUAUUUAGAGGAGGACUAUCCUCUAUAUAAAUAUCUGCAAAACCCUAAAAGAAGGAGGGGAGAGAGGAAAGAAGGAAGAAAGAGGAGAAUUUUUUUCUACCUGCUCUCUACAACUGCCACCAUUAUUAAUUCUCUACAGUUCUUCAUGAAUACUUUAGUUUUAGUUUUCAUUGUUCUUUUAGGAUCUAAGGAGCUUUUCAAGAAGUGGAGACUGAGGACCAAUCUUCUUCCUACUUGAAGAAAUUCUGGCUUUUUACUUUCUUAUUUUUUAUCUUUUAUAUUUAAUACCAUGAUCAUUGAGUUAAAUAUGUUAGGCUAGUUUUCAUAAGUGUUUAGUUUAGUCUUUCUACUUUUGUAUGAACCUUGUUAUUUAUUUAUUUAAUGAAUAAUUUCUUUACCUUCAUAUCUUUAUUAGUUUCAGUUAUUAUUGUUAGUUAACCAUCAUAUUAAUUUAGCAAUAGUAAUUGUUAUAAAAAUCUUUAGGUUUAAAAGUAUUAGAAACAUCAUUUUUACUUUAAUCUAUGUUGGUAUAAGAAACCUAAGUUGCAUCAUUAGCUUGAGUGAUUUAGGAAAAAGGCACAUCACCAUCUGAUUCAUUAGAUCUAGGCUUAAAAUAAAACAAGGAGAUUACUAAGUAAAUAGCUAAAUUAAAUACUAUUUUUAGCAUAUAGUUUUAGAUCAUAAGCAUUUGCAUUGCACAUUUAUUUAUUGUUUAGUUACUUUACUUUAUGACCAUUAUCCUCUCAAACAUACUAUUUAGAGUGUUUAGAUUUACUUUUAUUGUUUUGUGUUGGUAAUUAAUCUUUAUAAUAAGUGGCAUCAUGGUUCCUUGNNNUCAUUCGCAGUCGAGAGUCAAAUCUACCAUAAUUAGAAGACUUUAAUUUAAAUUUAACUGAGCAUUAUGUUAUGCUAGUGUAUUUGAAUCUCUAUAAAUUUACUAAUUUAUUGUAUUAUAUAAUUUUAUAUAUUUAAAUUAUUAUUUAACAAAAAGUUCGCAGCUAUGCUUGGUAUAUGUCUCUAUUUACACAUUAGACGGUAGAUGAUUAACACAUAUUUAUUAGUUUUAAAUGAUCGUCUAAUACUAAAUUAUAAAGCACACAUGCAUACAAGUCACUCUUCUAUUAAUUUAAGUGUAUACAUGUCUUAUUUAAUAUAUAGUGAAUCUCAUAUUAUAGUAAAAUAUAUUAAUAGAAUUAUUAAUCCACAACGAGAAUUUAAUGAUAUGUGUAUUGUACUACCUUAACAAAUCUUCAUUAAGCUCAAAAUUAUGAAUUUUCUUAUGACAAAUAUCUAAUUUUAAUUUAUCUCAACUCUUAUUUAUAAAAUAAUAUUUUUAUCAAAAUUAUUUUAUUAAUUAAAAAAUCUCAAAAUAUUAAAAAUAAUUUUAUAAAAUAUUAUAUUAUCGUAUUAAAUAAAUAAAAGUUAAAGUUGGCAGUUGGCAGUUGGCUAAUCUAAAUUCGUAUAAAAGUUAUCAAAUAUUUAAAAAUAUAUAUUCUAAUAUUCUAUAGUCAUUUUUACGCAUUGAUGGCCUAAUAGGAUAAGGCCACACAAAUAUUAGUAUAAUACUAAUAAUUUAUUUAAUGCAGAGUAAGAGAUUUAAAUAUAAAAUUUAUACUUCAAAAAUAAACGGUAAUACCAUAGUGUAAAAAAUAUGGAUAGAUGGGUUCUGUUAGUCUAUAGUUUGAACCCUUUUGUAUUAGAGGUUUGAAAACAAUUUUAAGGGGUCAAUCAUAAGAAUAAAAAUGCAUAACAUUUAAUAAUUUGAGCCGAUUUGAUUGAAUGGUACCUUCAGAAUAUUCGUGCAUGUCAAUGUGAUAAAUAUUCAAAAAAAAUAAAACGUUAGAUUGAAAUUCCAUUUUAAUGUCAAAUCCAUGCACGUGGCAGUCUUCCUGCCACCUCAUAAAUAAAGUCAACAGCAAAAGGUCGUCCAAAAGAGAAAAGGUGGAGAAUUAAAUAAAUAAAUAUUAUAAACAAAAAUGAUAGUAUGGUGUCGGUUGGACUGCUAUUCAUUUUUUUUUUUUCAUAAGAAAACAUUAGAAAUAAAAAAUAAAAUUAUAUAUAUAAACUUUAAUAAAUAAUACAAAACUAUAAAUUUACAUCAAAUAGUAAUCACUAAUCAGGCGGCCGUUCUUUCAAAUCCUAACGUAUACCGGACCUCAUCUCAAUGAUACAAAAUUCAAUGCAUUUGCUGACUGCAUAAAUUGUCCUCUAAAGUUAUAAAAUUUCGUCCGUUUAGUCUAAGCUAAGUUUGUAUUGUAGGUCUGGAAUUUAAUCACUUGAUGCCACACAUUUUAGCUAAUAAGAGCAUCCACAAUGACAAAUUUUUAAAUGAUUCGUAUUUUCUACAUAAAUUCUCUUAUAAAAUUAUAAUAUGUGACAUAUUUUACGGUGGAUUAUAUUUAUUUUAAUUAUUUUUUUAAUAAUCAUAUUAUGUACCGAUAUAUCAUAAAAUCCUUAAUCGCGUCAUAAAUUAGUGAAAAUUUUAUAAUUUUUAGUAUUUAAAACUUUUUAUUAUACAAUAGAGGAAGCACUCUCAAGCAGUAAGUUCUCCAGCGUUGGAAAACUAAGCCCAUCCACUAAGGCGCUAUUGGCCACUAACCACUGGCUCGCCGGCCCCUUGAGCUCUGCGUUUCAAGUUCUGAACUGGUUACAUGAGGAUUUUCAGUCCUCUGUUCUACCAACUGAGCUAUCCCGACCAUUUUUGACGCAUCGACUUUCUCAUUUUUAUUAAACAACUUUUGUCUAUGUCAAUUAAAUAAAAAAGACGAAAAAGUAUUCUAAAAUUUUAUCCAAAUCCGAAAUAUUUUCCCCAUUGCUAAAGGAAUUGUUGUAUAUAAAAAAUGUUAAUAAGCCCUAAGUGCUCUCCACUUACCUUCAAUUAUAAUGACAGAUAUAGUUACCAUUAGGCUAUUGGAAUUUCUUUUUUACAAAAGAGAUGAAAGGCUGACCGGAGAGGUUUGUUUUGGAUUCCUGAAAAGCACCCUGCACUCUAGCUCAAAAAGGUGCGGCCUGUAAUUGAGUGAUAGAUUGAUCGACGUGUCCGGAGAACGCUCGACCGUGAGUCCCAAGGUGAAAGGAACUUAGCAAAUGGGGUCCGGCUUCAUCAACCCAUGACAGAAUAAGGUUUCAUUUUUUUUGAAUGGGUGUUAGUGAGGAUGAACAUGAAGGUGAUUGAUUACAACAACUACAAGAUUACUACUCCAUUAAUGACUUUGAUCUCUCUCUCUGAAUUAUUGGAUAUGAGGACACAAAUUUUUAAUUCAAAUUGAUUACCAAAAAUAAAAUGGAGGAAACAAGGAGAGAAAAGACGAGGCAAUAUGAAAAUGAGAAUUAAAAGAAAAUGGAGAAGUACAGGCACAGAACCUACACUGAAAUAACAAUUAAUGGAAAGGAAGGGCUGAGCACGCAAUUGCUCACCAACACACUGAACCAAUUUUCUGUUGCCACCACUGAUAUUAGUAUUACCCAUCAGUACUGACCACUCUGCUGUUUCAGUCCCAGUGAGAGCACCACCCCCACAUCUUCCUUCUUAGUCUCUUUUGUCCCCUUUAUUAAUACCUGCUUUCUUUUUCUCUUCUUUUUUCCUUUUUCUUUUUAUUUGGUUCCAUCCUGUCUUUUUCCCACCAAGUUUUUUUUUCUUUAUUUCUCUACUGCUCCAACUCAAGUUCUAAUUAACCCAAAUUAUAAUGCUAUACUCUUUUUACCAAUAAAUUCUUCUUUUCUAAAUCUUUUUGUUUUUUUGAGCUAUUUUCUAAGCCAAUUAUUCACUACACAAUUACUAAUUUUAUUUAGUCGAGUAGAACUUGAAAAGCAGAAAUUUUCGAUUAAUCCUUUGGCAGAUUUCCUCAAAUUCAACUGUGAUGCUUCUUAUAUAAAAAGUUCUAAGAAAACAUCUUAAGCUUUGUUUAUCAGAUAUGCCAAUGGUCAUGUUUUUAUUGUCCAUCGUUCUUCUACUAAAGCAUCAUGUUUUUAAGCCAAUCUUUUUAUUUUUAUUUUGUAUAUUUAUAUUUGAUAUUCAUGAAUUAAAUAAUAUUUUUUAUAACAGUAAAUGUAUUUUGAUGAUAUGAAAAUAUAUAUUUUAAAAAAUAUACUAUAACAUAUAAAAUAUAUAUUAAAAUAAAUUAAAAAGUCAUUUAAGGUUGCUAAAAAUAACAUCAAUUUUAUAUUUAUAAUAGCUAUUUGAGAUAAAUAUGAAUGAAAAAUAAAAAUGAUGCUGAUAUAAUUUUACUAAAAAUGAUAAUAUUAUAAAAAUAUCAAUAAAAUAUAAAAAAGAUAAAUAAUACAACUUAAAAAAAACAAACUGUAUAAACAGAAUUUGUUCGAAUCUUAGGUCAUAAAUACCCAUUUCCUGUAUACCUUUUAUUUAAUGGGCCUGUGUUACUAUUUUGAAAUCAAAUUUAAUUACGUCAAUAAAUUCUGCAAAUGACGACACAUAAAUAAAAGAAAAAUGAAAUUCCACGUGGAAACUUAUGUUUUUAAUAGUGGAUGAGGUCGGUCACAUGCUGACUUGUGUGCACUUUCAAGUUUAUUUAUUUAUUAAUAUAAUUAAAUUCAAAGUAUUAAUUAGGUUAAAUAAAAUAAAAAUAAUAAUGAGAAAAUCUAUAAAAUCCAAGUCAGCGAAUAAUUGGAGGAUUGAGUGGGGGGAAGUGGGAAUAGUAGGAGUACAGGCUUAAGAUCCGUCAGUUGAUUGAAGCUUAAGGUUUAGUCACGUCUUAAAAGUGAGAAUUCUAAAGGGGUCAAUCAAAACGACUGUGCUGCAGAGUGUUGUAAAAAGUUUCCAGUUAAUUUUUCAUUCAAUGUACGGACGAUCCUGACAUGAACAUACUAAUUAAUUAAUUAUAAUAUAUAGACACCUGCUGUCUACGUAAUUGAACUCAUUUUUCACCUCUUUCUUAAUUUUAUCUAAUGCUUUUGUUUUAUUUUAAUAUUCUUAUAGUAUUUUAUUUACUCUUAUUGAUAGAAUUCUUCUUUUUUCUUUGUUUCUAUUUAUAAAGACUAAAUUAAUCUGAGGUUGAUUAUUUUUUAUAAUUAUGCCGAUGAAAAAACUAAAAAAUAAUAAUUUUGGGCAUAUAUGCAUUUCUUGCAUGUAAAACCCAUAACCAUUAAAUCAGCUACCUUACAAAUUAAUAUAUUUAGCUUUAUAUGAUUUAAUAUUAGCCGAACAUUCAUUUUCAAUAAUAAAAUUAUUUUAUAGGUGAUUUGCCAUUAAAUCAAUUAUCAUAAUACUCCUAAGAAUAUUAUAAUGUUAUUUUAAAAAUUAUUUUAUUUAUUUCUAAUAAAAUAAAUAUAUAGUAACUUUAUUUAAUAUAAAUUCAAUAUAGUCAGUUAUAUGUUAAAUCACAUAAUAAGUGAUUUUGUUAUUGAAAAUAAGUAUUAUACUAAUAUUAAAUCAUAAAAAUAUAAAAAUAUUAGUUUAUGAGGUAAAAAUAUAAAAAAUUAACAUGGUACUUUUUUGUCAUUAAAAAAAUUAGAGUCCUUAAGUAUAAAAGCGUCAAACUGCAUGAUACUAUUUCUAUACCUUUUCUUAUAUUUAUUAAUCGAUUAAUUGAAUCUUUUUCAAUUGGUAAAUUAGAAUUAUUAAUAUUAUUUUGGUAAAAUAAAGAGAGUAGAAAAAUAUAACACUCUAUUUAUGCACACUUUUCAUGCAUAAAAAAUGGUAAAUAUUAGUAAAAUCUUGAUGCAAUUUAUAGAAUGUAUUAGAAGCAUAAAUUAAAUCUAAACAAAUAAAUUAAAGAAAUUAUUGAGCUUUAAAAAUUUAAAUUAAACUUAAUAGUAUAUAAAUGAGAUAAUAAUGGUUUUUUCUAGUUUAAUUAAGGUUACGAGUUCAAAUCUUGGAUAUACAGUUGUAUUAAAAUUUUUUAGAAAGUGUUUUGAUAUCCGUAAAAGUCAUACCUAACACGCUCUAAAUUAACUCUAGAUAUGUGUAUAUCAAAAAAUAUUUAAAUUUAAUUUAAAAUUUAAAAAGUUUAAACAAAAAAAAUGUCUAUAUUCUUUCACAUUGAUAUAUUUGGACCCUAAAUAUUAAAAUUAAGGUUAAAGUCUCAAAAAAUCCAAACAAACCAACAUAAUCCAUUUGCCCCACAUACUUUUGGAGCCCUAGGCCUAUGCCAGCACUCGCCAAUCUUGACUUUGUGAUUUCAUAAAGAAAACUCUGUUUCUUGCCUCGUUUGCCUUUCUGGUUUUCAGUUUUGGCCUCCAUUCCUUCUCUCCAUUUUCCAUUUAAAUUUAUAAAAGAAAACGAAGAACUGUAAACUCAUCAUCAAUCUGUGAAAAACGUAAAUUACACAAAGAAAAAGGAAAAAAAAAAUUGGCAAAUUAUACAUUUGAUUAAUUGUAAAGACUAAAGCCCAUCGUACCAAUAUACUUAAACUUUAUUUCAAAAAAAAAAAAAAAACAAAAAAACUCAAUGAGAUAAUUCUUCCAAGAUGUGAGAAAUUAAACUCUCUGCUUUUCAAUUAGCUAAUUUGUAGAAGAAGUAAAAUAUAAAUAAUAUGAUAAUAAUUUAGUCUUAGAGUUAAAGUUUUAGUAAUUAAUAAUCUCUACAUUAUAAGUUCUUUUUUCAAUUAAAAUUAUUAUCUAUCUGAGAUUUUUUUUUCUCUUUUGUUGAUAGUUUCUGAUUAUUAAUGAUAAAUAAUUAUUAAUUAAAAUAAUUUAAAUGACUAAACUAACUCAAUUUUACUAAAUAAUCAGUAAAAUCUUUUGGUAAAUUUAUUUAUUUUUCUUUUUUUUUUUAAUCUCUACUAUGCUUUUAAAUUUUCUUUUUUUUGAAAAGAGAUAAUGAUUAGUAUAUGUAGUGUUAGAGGGAAUGGGAGAUUUUUAGAUGGGCGACUAUGGCAAAAACCCUUACCAAUCCGGGUAAGCCUGAAUUGGUAUAUGCUUUUAAAUUAAAACUAAUAAUAUUUUAAGUAAAGAUAUGCAAUGCCUGGGUCGAUGACUAUACCAGGGAAAUGACAUAUUAUAAUAGUAUUAAAUAAGUUUAUGGUUCCACAUGCUAAACUCAGCUGAGUUAAACAAUUUCUUUUUAUAGUCUGUUUGUGUGCGAAUUGCAGCAAAAACUCGGAGAGAGAGAGGAGUGGUGGUUCAGGUAGGAAGGAGGGUUUGUCAUUUGGCAAACAUAGAUUGUACUGUGUUUUGUAAUCUAAUAGACAAGUUACGGGGAAUUAUUUAAGGACAAAUGUUUGCCAUUUGUUUCAUUGUUUUAUCAGUCUUAUUAUCUUUUGGGAAAUCCAUUGAUAAAUUGUAAUGAGUAAAUCAAAUUUGAAAAAGAUAAAGCAGAAGAGGGGAGAUUACAUUCCUUUUUUUCAAUUACUGAUUACUCUUUAAAAGAUGCUUUAGAAAAAGAAAAAAAAGAAAGAAAGAAAGAAUAUGACAUUUAAAAGGGGUUCCUAAUUUAUUAGGGUAACUAUCAGAGUUCCCACCUCUUUGACCCAAUAAGCAAAUAGAUAAAAGAAUAAAUUACUACUCACUUUGCACUUAAUCAUUACAUAAAUUAUUACUGUAAAUAAUUUACACUAAUAGAAGGUUAAGCAAAUAUGUAGUUUAAGUUUUAUAAUUAUUUAAGAUAUGUCACUCUUUCAGUGAUAGAUUAUAAUACUUACAAAAGGUAAAAUAAACCCAGAAAAAAAUAAUCGGACGGUUAUCGCCUAACCAAUCUCAUAAUCUCAACGGUACACAUUUCACCUCUUAUAAGAAUGACCUUCAUGCCACAGUGACGCCUUUCUAUAUAUAUUUUACCACAAUCUUUCUUUCUCUAGUAGUCUUUUCCUUUCCAAGAAGUUGGGUUACAUUUUACUUUCUUUCUCAUUCCUCUCUAUUAUGAUCGUGAAAUCUUGAAAAAUAUUAGACUAGACUAAUAGUUCGUGCACUUACUUGGAUUGUAAACAAGAACCCUACUUGUCUCUCUUUCUCUCUGGGUGAGCUUUCUUCUUCAUCAGUUUGUUAUGGCUGAAGAAAACGGUGUCGUGUCCUAGUUUCCUUUUCAGUCCUUUUGACGCUUAUUGUACUUGUUCUGUGUCAGUGUUGCUUAUUGUUUCGUUUUCGUCUUUCUUUAUUCUUUUUCAUUAGCAAAAUUGAUCAAAGCUGAGAUUUCGAUGCUUUCUUGCUUUUCUUUUCUUUACAUUCUACUGUUUGGAUACAAAGAAAAUGAAUUUUGACGGCUUCUUUAAACCCAUUUUCAGUUUCUUGCAUUUCAAGAUUCAGAGAUACUUCUAGAUAUUUAUAUUAUCUUCAAUUUACUUUCCAUUUCUAGUAAUAUUUAUCACGCAUUACCUAUCGGAUUACUUUUAUUUAUACUUCUUUACUAUCUGUGUGUUUACAUUUUUUUGGCCUGUUUUUGUAGGUUUAGCAGAUAAUUCUUGAUUCAUGUUUUUCUAUUAACUUGUUAAAGUUUCGUUCUUUAGUUUGGUUAUAUUUAUAUUUGUUCCGUAAAUGGAGAAACUAUGUAUGUCUUCUUUUCUUAGUAUUCUUUUCCCUCUGAAUUUGGUAAAGAAGACGAAGUUUCUCUCGAUACCCUUCACAUCUCACCCAUUUCUUGGUACUAAUAUUAAAAAUGGAAAAGAUAUCUUGUAUUUCUUCACAGGAAAGAAAAAAAAGGAAGAAAAGAAAAGCAACUUCUGUUUUUUUUUUCUUAUUGUAUUGGGUAAGUAUGUUAACAAUGGAAGUUGGGAUUAAAUUUAUUUUUCUUCUUUCCUGUUUGUAGUUUGUGAAGUGGUAUAAAAACGAAAAAAUAAAAAUGUCAGAAAGAGAUCGCCAACCAUGUGCGGCUUGCAAGCAUCUAAGGAGAAAAUGUUCUAGUGAGUGUAUAUUUGCACCGCAUCUUCCACCUGAUAUGCUAGAAAACUUCAAAAAUUUACACGAAGUGUAUGGUGCAAGCAAUGUCUUGAAGCUGAUACGCAAACUUGAUCCUAGUAAAAGAGGAGAAGCAAUUCGUUCACUCGCUUAUGAAGCUACAGAGCGUCUUCGUAAUCCAGUCUAUGGUUGUGCAGCUGAUAUUUUAUUUCUUGAAUCAAGAAUACAACAGUUGCUUGCUCAAAUCCCAGUUGCCAGGCAAGAACUGUCCAUUUAUAUGCCACCACCUACUGCAUUUCAACCCACUUUGCCACAGCAGAGUUAUAUGACACCACCACCACCGCAACAGCAACAGGAUGAGGGUGGUAACCGACCAUCUAUUUCUAAUGAUGUAGAAAAUUUUAUGAACCAGCAAUUUUUGCAGCAGCGAUACCAGCAUUUGAUUCAGGCUCAGCAAUCGGCUGCUAUAUUAGAGCAACCUGGCAUGUUAAGUACUUAUGAGCAACAGCAGCAGUUUCUAUUGCAUCAACAACAGCAACAGCAACAGCGGCAGUAUCAUCUACUUCUACAACAGCAUCAGCAGCAACAAUUUUUAGAACAGCAACAGCAACAUCAGAAGCAGCAGUCUUUAGAGCAACACCAACAAGAAGAUCGUCAGGUUUUACAAGAACAGCAACAGAGGCUGCCCUUUUUUCCACUAGAACCACAAUGGCAAGAUGUGCAAGAGGGGCAUCAAGUUUUUCAACAACAACAGCAACAAGAGCGUCAGGAUUUACAAGAACAGCAACAGGGGCUGCCUUUUUCUCAACAAGAACAACAACAGGGGCUGUCCUUUUUUCCACUAGGACCACAACAGGGGCUGCCGUUUUCUCAACAAGAACAACGACGGGGCCUGCCGUUUUCUUCACUAGAACCACAAUGGCAAGAUGCGCAGGAGGGCCAUCAACGUUUUCAACAACAACAGCAACAAGAUCGCCAACAACAGCAGGGUCUGCCGCUUUCUCAAUUAGAACAGCAGGGGCAGCAGUUUUUCCAAGUAGAACGACAACGGCAAGAACGGCAAGAGCAAGAUUAUCUUAGUCCAGAUAUUGGAUGUGAAGGAGGAGGCUCAGCUACUUCUACUGGUGUUGCUGUAGAGCUUUCGCUUCGGCCACCACAUCCUCAGGACUCCCAAUUGCAGCAAGAGAAGUCUGAAAAUGAAGAAGCCAUGGAGUUCUGAUCCAUCUUAGUGAAGUUUUCUUUGGUAGUGAUCUUGUCAAGAAAUUUUCUGUUCAAGGUAUGUAUUGUUUACUUUCUCUCGGUCUUAAUUUACAAAAUUGUAGUCAAGUGGUUUACACUCAUGCACGUUAGAGUUCCCGAACACUUGAAGUGUGUAUGAACACGUGAGGGUUUCUUUUUGGGUGAGAUACAAAACUUGAGGUAGCUAAAAGAGAGGUUUAUGAUAUGAAUUCGUUGUGGCAAUUCCAUCUAUGAUUUUGACUUUUGUUUUUGGAAUUUGGUCAAACCACAGUAACUUUCUACCUAAUGAAAGACAAUUUGGUUUUCCAUUGAAAAUGAUGUUCCUUUUGAUAGUUCGUUCUGGUUUGAUAGUUCGUUCUGGUACAGUUUUUAUCUUGCCAAAAGAACAUUAGAAAUUCAUUUUUCAAGUCUUGUCCUAAUUGAAUUAUGCCCGCUAUGUAUUUUCAUAAGUUAUGUAAGGUUGCCCAAGAUUGCUGUAAAUGAACACUUAGCUAAUAUUUCUUUUUUCUUAAAAAAAAGAGGGAAUUUGUGGUUAGCUUAUCCAUAAUUAAACACUCUAUUUACAACAUCUUACUCUCCAUUAUAGUAUAUUGAGCAAACAAAAGAAAAACAGCAGGAUACACUUAAACUAGUUGUUUCCUUGUAGGAGGUUUUAGUAAUUAUCAUCAAAAUGCAACACUCUGAGAUGCUGAUCAAGACAUUACCUAACUCUUUCUCUCUUUUUUGCAGCUCAUUUAUAACUGCAGGACAGAAGCUAAAACAGGCGGGUUGAGAGAAGAGGAGGAUAGAACUUUACGUCUGAGAUUUAUGAAGUAAGCAAUAUUGUUUCUUUUCCGGGUUCGAAGAAAAAGAGAAAGACCCUUUUUUUUUAUUUUUAAUGGAGACACAACAUUUUGUAAUGUAGGAUUUUCAUUGAUUUCCCGGAAACAGCUUCAAGCAUUUACAUAUUUUAUUUUUUGGUACAGAAAAUGGUAGGUUCAGAGUUCUUUAGAAACUACGGUACAUGUAAAUCACAAAGUUGACAAAGUUCUUUCUACAGCUUUGCACAUAAAUUUUCAGUCUCAAGUGUAUACCAAAUUUUCUGCUCACUGCUGUUCUUCAUUACUUAUUAUCGGUUGUAAGUUAAUUACGUAUUAGCUGAUAUUUACAUUUUGGCUUAUUUUUAUAACAUUCUAACAUACAAGAUGGGAAGCUCUCAUUGUGGGGUUCUAAUUAUUCAGGAGUUUAGGUUACAUACCGGGCUUUCUUUCUUCUUUUUUUUUUUUUUUUUUCAUUUUCUUAUUUUUGGUUUCAAAUUGCUUGUUUAAGUGUCAUAAUUUGUUUUAGUUUAAUUAAUACUAUCUUAAUGCAUUAGGGUAGUACAUCAAUGUGUGUUUGUGCACUCAAAUCGUAAUUAAUGUUUUGCAAUUGCUAAUAACCAAUCAUGACUCAGCUCAUAGAUUUCAUUUAGUAUUAAUUCUGGUGGCCAUGUGCAUUGAAUUAUAAUUAGCCAAAUAAUAAUAGAAUAAUGGUUAGUAAAUAAUAUUAAAUUUAUAUUGAUCUCGAUCAUGGAGAUCCACUUUACCCCAUCACUGAAAUUUAUUUAUUUAUUUGCCUAGAUUUUCUCUUGAGGAGACCAUAAUUGAUUGAAAAAUAAUAGUAAUACUGAAUAUUAAAAGAAAUACUUGAUUGGAAGAAAGCAAGAAAAGAAAAGGAGCAUUAGAAGUAUUUGGCCAAAAAAGAAAAAUUGUGAGCCGAGUAACCGUUUAAUAUUUGAUUGGUUCUCAGAACAGACAGAGCCAGAGAAUACUUACUUUAUCCUUACUUGUAUUAUUCCCUUUGAAAAAUAGUUCGUGGUUAAGCCUUUUACAUGUGGAGGAUUGUGACCAAAAUAAAUAUUACUUGAUUUAAUUUUUUUAUAUUUUUAUUAUUUUAUAAAUUAAUAUUAUUAAAUUUUUAUAAUUUAAUGUCAGUGUAAUAUUUAUUCUUAAUAAUAAAAUUAUUUUAUAAUUGAUUUACCAUCAAACUAACUAUCAUGAUAUUUCUAAAAAGAUUAUAAGAUUAUUUCAUUUUAUUCCUAAUAAUAUUAAAAAAAAUAUAAUAAUUUUAUUAAAUAUGAAUUCAAUAUAGUUAAUUAUAUAUUAGAUCACUUAAUAGGUGAUUUUAUUUUUAAAAAUAAGUAUUAUAUUAAUUUAAAAAUAUUAAUUUAUAUUAUAGUAAAAGUAUUAAAAAAAUUGAAUCAUAGAGUAUUUUUUUGUUAAAAAAAAUUAUACUCCCAAAUAUAAAAGCGUCAAACUAGAAUUUUUCUUUUAUUUUUUUCUAUUUUUAAUCAUUAUUCUUACUUUGUAUGUGCAUAUGGCAUGUGAUAUUUUCUCUUUCUAGGAAAUUAUUUUAUUAUUUACGAUUUGUCUUAUAAACGAAAAUUUGAAAUUAUAAAAAUUAAUAUAAUUAUUAUUACAAGUAAUUAAUUUUUGUACAUGUAAGCAUAGUUAGUUGAAAAAGAAAGAGGGCUAUUCAUUGUGUAAUCUGGAUCCAGUGAGUCACUUAAUAGAAAAAAAAAAAAAAAAAAGGAAAUCAAAUGAUUAUGAGAAUUUUAUUGUAUAAAUAUAGUCUUGUAAUAUCCUUCAAUUACUUUAGGUUAAAUUUCACCAUAGGCCAUAGACUAUCUCCCUGUCAUGAAAACUUGAGUUUAAUUUCUUCAAUCAUCAUGAUGUCUUCUAAAUGACUGCUGUUGUCAUGAACUUCAUCUGCUUUUCUUGUUCCUCUUCCUUGAUUCUUUCUGUGCCUCUCGAGUGCUUUUCAACUACAUGCAUCACAUUGCUCUGCUAUCGAUAUAUGGAACAUAUAUGUCUGAACAUCUUGCACAGGGAUUUUGAUACAAGACAAAGUAUUGUAUCUGUUUGGAUAGCUAGAAACUUCAAGAAACGGUGAGAUAAGAGAGAAAACUCACACAUGUAGCCAAAUUGUAUUAUCAAAAAGCACCACCGAGUAGUAUUCGCUAUUUGUAUUGUUAAUCCAACUUAUGAAACUUGCACUCUCCUAAUUCUAAAUUUAAAAAGAUUCUCCACAAAACAGAUUUUAUCCACUAAACCUCCACAGUUAUCAACUUCAUAAUUUCGAUCUUAAAAAUAAAAUGGGUAUAAAAGAAAUUCUGAGAUUUGACAAGAAGAACAAUGUGCAAACAGUUUACAACUCCUAUAUAAUUUAAUCUGAGUCUGAGGAACCCUUAUAACGGUCAUCAAGUGUUGUUACCAUUUUAUAUAGGUUUUCUUCAAUGUCUUCUAAUUCAUCCUUUGCAAAACCCCAGCUUCUGAGUAACUCCGUCCCAAGUGCUCCUCGCUCAAUCCCAUAUCUACGAAGAUUUAACAGUCGGUUCUCCAGAAAUGGCAAGAUAGCGCUGCUCGAACGAAGCCUAGCCGCCAUAGGUAGAGAGUGGACAUCAAGCGAUCCCCUUGAUGAGGAACCUGGGAUCGGACUGCACAAGAGCUCACCAUGCUGGCUAACGAGAUUCCCGAAGAUUGAAGGAAAUGGCAAGGGUAUCGGAAGAGGGCAAACAUCAACAGACAGAUGGCAGAACUUUGGCCUCACUAAUGAAUGUUCAUAAGCCUCAUUAACUGUAUCUGUUACUUCAGAUACUGAAGCCUGGCAACCUCCUAGAAAGAAAAGGGGAAACUAACAAUUCAUUAGGAAGAUAAAGCAUGAAUGCUCAUUUAGAAGGCCAAUGGGAAGAGAAUAAAAACUUGUCUCAACUUGCCAAUAACAUAACUUGUCUUAACUUGCCAAUAACAUAACUUAUCUCAACUUGCCAAUAACAUAACUUAUCUCAACUUGCCAAUAACAUACUUUCAGCCAGAAGACUACUAGAGAACUCUUACAUGUAAAGGAAUAGCAAAGUUACUGAAUUUUUCUUUUUAAUGUCUUUACUCUUAUUUAUACUCGUCCCUAGUGCCAGAAAACCCUUCAUAUCUUGUAACUUUUCAUAAAAAUUCGUGUGUGCAUGAAAACACACUUUGUACUUCAUAAUAUCAAGCACUAAAGCGAUGAGAAAUCAUUCUUCAAUUAAUCAUUCAGACACUUCUUGACAAGUAAUUAGUUAAUUAUCUCCAUAUUUAAUUCAUUAUAAAACUGUAUGUAUGAAUAUGAUUUUUCAAAGCCAAGGACAGUAGAAGGGUGACUGUUGCUAGAAAGCAUAUCCAGCAUGGGAUUGCAGACUGAGAUGUUGAAAGUGAAAUUUCAAGGAUCUUUGUCCAGUGCAUUUACAAAUCAUAGCCAGUACCUGAUCCGAGGGCUCCAUGAACUGUCAGGGAUUCCACUGCUUGCAAAUCUUCCACUUCUGCUAACUCUGGUGUCAAUGGAUGUAAAUUCCAUAGAAAAGAUAGCUCAUCUUGUUUCCCUGGGAUUAUCACGCCAAACAGUUAAUUAAACUCAUUGACAAAAAUAAGGACCUGGUUUUUGAAGUUAUUAGUUAAAUACAUGAUAGGGGAGGUGCUGGCAUUGCGACAUCCAGAAUGGUGGCCGUAUUCUGUCUAUCUUGCCCGGUUAACAUCUGUACAAGUUCAUAGAUGUUCAUAGCACCAGAAUAAUAACAAGAGUCUGCAGCGGGUCCAAGUGAUUCCAUACGGAAGGGGAGACUAAUAGAGUGUAAAGCAGCAGCAUAAACUGCACUGCAGUGGUAAGGCUUCUCAUCUUCUAUGCAGAGAUGUGUGGAAGCUUUACCUUCAAAAUCAAGGAAAGAUGAUCAGAAAAGAAAACAUAGUUAAGGACAAAAUAACCAAAGAGCAAUGCUAUUAGUCAAACAAACAAGGCUAAAUUGUAGGUUGAACAGAAACAUGUAAAGCCUAGUGAAAAAGGGUAAAGCAACCUGAUUUAUAUAUAGUUCUUCAAAAAGAUGAAUAGUGGCAGUGACAAAAAUGUAAAAGAAACACAAUGUAGUACAUUGAGAGAAAGCAUAUGGAAUCAUCUAAAUGCAACUGUACUCACUUCUACUUAGGAAGGGUAAACCAGCUGGCACAAUCAUUCUACAGAAGGAUGAAAGUCUUGAAAAAGAAACUGCAUCAUGAAUUUUCCUGGAAAUUGAUUGCUUCUGACUUCUUGGAUUUGUAUGAGAACCAGGACCUUUGACAGAAUAGAGCAAAACAGGUGUAUUAGUGUACUCAUCUGCAAUAUUCUCCAGAAAAUCUGCAGCCAGAGCAGAGAAAGCUCCUGAGUCAUCAACAAUGAAUUGAAAACCCUGUCAAGUUUGGCAAAGAUUCAGCAUAAAAAGAAUUGCAGAGAGAUCAAUUAAGAUUGAGAAUGGGUACAUCAAAAAGAAAAGAGGUAUACUGUAUAGACUUGGACUCAGAAUCAAAAGAAACAAAUUAAAAUCCUCUCCGUCUCUUAAAACACAUCUCAGUAUUAACCUAGUCCCCCUUAUCCAAUUGGCAUCUUCAUUUAUUUCAACAAGCUGCGGAUACCAAGAUGCAAAAAUAUUCACUAAUAGAAGAAGAUCAAGCUCUCAUCAAAUUAGCAUAUUGCCAUUGCCUCUUAAAACUACUCAAGUAACUCUAACGAAAAGAAUAAGCAACAAACAAUCAUCAAGAAAUUUUUUCCUUUAGAAUGAAAAAGAAGUGAACUAGUUCAUAUGGCUCCUUAUAUACUAUAUCAUUUUUACAAUUUCGCUUACCUGAAUAUGGUCACACUCUUCUACAAAAAAACGCAGCCUCUCACUUACUUCUUCCCCUCGUAAACCCUCAGAGAAAAUAUCUCUUCCAGCCCCAUAAUUAUCAAAUUCCUGACUAUCCAUCCAUAAUCCACAUAAUUCAUAUAAACUCUGUGGAUGAUAAUGCACUUUUGAGAAAUCCGUCCAAAAGUUGACAUCAUUUUCUAAACAUUCAACUAUAUCCUCAUCUCGAAUUUCUCUUUGUAUAGAACUAUCCCGCUUGUUAGUACCAGUGGGUUUCGAAAUCUCCUGCUCUUCUUCAGACAAACUUUGCAAGAACAAAUUCUUCUUUGAAGGCCCAGAUGCAUGAGUGGAAAUGUUGCCUGUCCUGUGUAUUAGUCCUUGAUAUUUAGUCAUAAGAGGAGACCGCAAAAGAUUGAAAUUGCCAAAACUGGAUUAAAUGUCUCCAAUAUGCUAACAGACUAAAGACACAAGCACACAGUUUAUUUAAAUCCAAUCAAGACUUCAGCUAUAAAAAGUAAAAAAAAUGUCAACACAAUUCUCAAGAGAGAAGGAGAAAUGAUGCAUUGUUAACUAGUUAUACUAAAGAAACAUAAAAGCAUUAUUCAGCAUUUCUUACAAUAUUUAAAAAUGGGAUCGCUACAUCCUCACUUUAGGACAUGUAUCCUUCUACUUUUCUUUCUCUUUCCUUUUUAUACAGUAAUUUACCCAAAAAUUGCAAGAAAUCUAUAUUUAUCUUCUAAACAAUAAUGCUUGGAGAUACCCAUAGACAAUGUAAAGUGGAAUUUAACAGAGGACCAGAACUGAACUUGCCUUGUCAAGUUUUUAAUCUAUGAUUGAAAGAAGAAAGUCUCAGUUGAAAGAAUCUUUUAAUUUUUCUAAGUGCUGCUUUACAGAUUGAUGUUAAAAGUCUCACCAUGUAAUAACUUCUGAUGAUGUUGAUGAGCCAUCCGUAUACAGCGUACCAUGUGAACUCAUAGAUCCCAGAGACCCUGCAAUGUGAGAGAAUCCAACUAAAAUUAUUGCUGCAAACUUCUUUGUAAGGAGGCCUGAAAGCAGCACGAUACCUCUAAUACAAUCGAUACGUCUUGUCAUUAUGGCUAAAGCCCAAGGCCUCUUCACAAAGCAAACACUAAUACACUUCAGCAAUAGACUUACAAGAACAUCUCCAAACACUAGAUAUCCAAUGGCAUACAUAAAACAUAUUUUUUUGCAAUGCUAGUAACUAAACUUUAGAAUGAGAAAAAGCAUGUAUAAAACUUCCAAGAGCAUAUGCAUAACGAUUGCAGUUGAACAGUUGAAGUAGAUGAUACCACACAAUAGAUCCAGUUGCUAGAAGAAAUAAACUACACUGUACUUCUCAAUUUUGAACACAAAUCAAGUACCUUGACCGUUUAUAGAAAUAAGGCGAGGAGUAUAAGUAUGAAUGCCCUGCACAUGGUUAAGGAACAACUAUGUAAGCAUUUGUUUCUAAGUAGCAAAUAUGCAGCAAGUCAGUGAAGCUGUUGCAAAUAAGUCUGGGGAAGUCUAGCAUGCUGUGCUGCCAAAAAAAAUUGCCGGUGCUUAAGAAAUUAAAAGAAUACAGCACUACGGAAAACUAUAUACAUGAGCUAUCAAAAUUUAGAACUUAUUAAAAUUCAAAUACAAAGUAAACACAAAUAUGUGCAAGAGUAUCAAAAUUUAGAACUUGUGAAGAUUCAAAUAUAUUGAACAUACAUCAACGCUGAUUUAAAUCCAUCUUAGCAUUUUAAAAUAAGAAACAUGGAUACUACAAGCCACUUGUUUUUAUAUCAUAUAAGCAAUUAUGUUAACUUGAAGACUGACAAACUUUUUUCAAUAAGACAACUACUAACAUGAUUUAUUAAUGAAAAACCAUACACAAAAUUGGCACAUCAUAUCAUUUUCAUCAUAAUAAUAAUGUGACAAGAAGUUCAUACCUGUUGGGUUUCCCCAUUACGGUAGAGCACGUCCAUGUUAAGAUAAUCAGCACAAUGCUUGAAGACUGGAUCACUAUCAGGAUCCGUAGCCAAACCAAGCAAUUCAUCCUUGAGCAUGAAAAAGAAAAACAAUCAUUAUACAAAUAACGAGGAACAUGAAAAGAAUUCAUUUUAAUAUGUACCUGAAAGUUCCAGAAAUGAGAGCCAAUAAAAUUGGCAAAACCUCCAACUUGAACAGUCACUAUCUCCCUCAUUACUACCUGCAAUUUAGAAAACCAAAUUUAGAGUUAAUUUGGAAGCUUAAAUCAGUAAAAUGAAUUCACAAAAUUCAAUGAUACGAAGACAAGUUAAACAGAAGGAAAAAUAUAUUUAGAGUUCAAAAGCAAGAAAAGUGUACUUUUUAUUCUAAAAACAAAACGAAAAAAGGAACAAAAGGAAAUUGAGUACUUACAGUUUAUUAGGGUUUAUGAGUUGGUUAGAAGGAAAAAAAAAAAAAAAAGUAAAAAAAGAAAAGGGGUUUUAGCACAGCUCGAGCUAUGGAGGCGCACAAUGAGUAGACCCAGGAGCAUGAAACGACGUCGUUCAGAAUUGUUGGGUCAGGUGGGUAACGCUGUCGUAUUGUCUUUUUUUUUUUUUUUUUACUUUUAUCAAAAUGUUAUUAAAUUCCUGAGCUUCGCCCGAAUUAUGAGUGUUUUGAUUCGGAAGAAUCUAGUUCAACAAACUCAUUGCUUAUGCUGAAGCAGCUGCGUGUAGGGAUCGCAAUGACUGGGAAUUCACCUAUUUAAAAACUAUUUGAAUUGAAAUCUAAUUAAAUUAUUCAUAGUCAAAUUUAUUUAAAAUUUAUUUUUAUUAUUUGAAUCUAUUUCAAAUUUAAUAAAUAUAUAUAUACUGUCUAAAUUCACACAAACUUUAUUAUUCCUUAUAGGGUAAUAUAUAUAUAUAAUAUUAGAUAAAAAGAAUUUUAUUAUAUUAUAUGUAAAAAGAAAAAAAGGGACGUGCAUAUGCCCUUUAAUGGUUUUGUCGGAUCUCUCCAUUUCAGUUCCAAAACCCUAAUCCAAUACUGUUUCAUUGACAAAAUUUAUCAUACGCAAUAUUACUACCGUUGAUAGUGCCAACAACCAUAAAGAAAAUAGAAAAGAAGUUUAGAAAAGAUAUAUGUUAAUAUUCGAAGCAAGAAAAUAUUAAUAAAAAAAAAAAAAAAAAAAGAUGGAUUGAAGAAGAUAAAAAUGAAGAGGGUAAGUGGCAGUUGAUGAACAUAAAAAGAUUCCAAGAAAAGUAAUACUAUCAUUUUAAGUCAUUCAAUGUUGAAGGCAAAAUCUGGGCGUGGGCUCGCCGUAUCCUCUAACUGGGAGAUUCAUAUUUUAGUUUUACUUUUGUUAUCUGAUCAUGAAACUGACACCUUUGUCUUCUGAUUCCAAUUUGUCCUCGCACUCAAGAUUAGCUGUAAGUGGAAGUUGACAAAAGGGUACAUCAUCUCUCAUCCUACAGAUAAUUUAAACAAACCCAUUACUUUAAAUUUUUCAUAUAUUGCUAUUUGAUAUCAGGGGUUAAAGAGAUAUCAGUCUAGCUGGCUGUGUUCGGAUUCAUUUAUAAAUUUUUUAUUUUAAAUAAUAUAAAAAUAUUUUAUCCAUCAAAUAUUUGUUAGAGAAAUUAUAUAAUUUAAAAUAUAAAAUAUGUAUUAUUAUACAGUAUACGGAAACUUGGUUGGAUUUCUUAAGUAGAAGUUUCAAUGCAGACUUUUGAAUAGAAUAUUGUUAUCCUCAACACAAGAUAGAUCUAGAAGUCUCACCCCAAAACAUUAUUAAAUGCUAAAUCCCUUAGCAGCCUACGUUUUCUUUUCUUUUUUGGUGCACGUACUAGAAAAAGAAUGAUCUGAAUUUACACUUUAAUUUUCGGUUUGGAGUGGAUGUUUGAUAACUGAUUACUCGCCCGAUGACCCCCUUAAAAGAUUAUUAUUAGUCAACUAACCACUCUUUAUUUAACAAAGGUAGUACGCUGUCGUUUAGACUUUGUGCAUGGAUGUGUUUCCCCUUGUUAUUUGCUUGCAUUUUUCUAAAAUUUUUUAUUUGUUUUGGUGAUGGGACUGAGUUAUGUUACACCAGCAAGCUACAUGAAGCAUCUGUAGAGCUCGAGAUAUAUGGGUAGUAACUGCCCUUUCAUCUAAAAUUUUUCAACAGUUAAUGUUUACAGAGGAUAUAAGUUUAAAGAUUAUGUUAAAGAUGUAAACUUUGACAGGUUAUCGAAGAUAUGGAAGUCAUUAUGGAUAUAUACAAAUGCCUUGAAAGCUAAGUUAUACUUGCACCUAUAAUGAAUUUCUAUGGCCACCAAGGAAAUGAAGAAAAACCACGAGUAGUCCUACAGGUAGAAAAUACAAACUUGAAAUAAAAUAUAAUGAGAACGAGAUGAGUUACUUAAAGCUAAUUAUUUAGAGAAUUAAAAGAGAAACCCUAAUCUAACAGGAAAAGCUGGAAAGAAGAAAGAAACAUAGAUGAAGAUGACAAGAUUCGAGUGGUUCAGCUGUCAUUAUAUAAAAAUUCAUAAGAUCGAUCGUGGCAGAACUGAUUUUUUAUCUAGACAAGACCAUAUUGUCUAAAAUGGGGCACCCCAUGGAACCUUAUUUCCCCUUUGUAUCCUUCAGCCGAAGGAACUGAAAAUAAGAGGAAUGUAGCACUAAUAAUGGUUAAGAUCAGCCGAUCUGGUUUGUGUAAAAUGAUUGUUGAAGAAAAUCCGCAUGAAGAUAGUCCAGCACACCCAGAAAUGUUGGUAACCUCAGUAUCUUACCAAGUUAUUUAUAGGCAAUACUUCUUCCAAGUUAUUUAUAACAGCAGUGUUCCUAAGCAAGUUGGGGUAACUCUUAACAACUUGAUAAAGAAUGUAGAGCACAAUACCUAAAUAUUCCUUUAGCAACAUUUUAAAUGAUGGUCAAGUGCAUAGUGAUCUAACUAGUAGCAAAGCUUAACUCAAUGAUGGUAUAACAGAUAGCAAAUAAUAUGGCAACCAUUAGUAAAUGCAGCAUAUAGACAGACUUAAUUCAUAAAAGAGAGAAGCAGAUAGCGAUAGCAUUUAUCAGAUGAUAACUAUCUAUAAAAUCAGAAUCUGUCAUGUAAUAAUUUAGAAACCAUAAAAUAUGCAUUACAUAAGUUGAUGAACAGCACAGAUCAGGUAGGAAGAGAUAGAACUCAAGGUGGAGAGAAAACUUUCCGCAAAAUCUAUUCAUCCCUGAUCUCUCUGAUGUAUAACUUAUCUCUUAAAAGAAUAAUUAACUCCAAUCUUGAAUCCUAUUAUAUCUGCCACCUUCAUUAUUUUCAUGUUUACAAAUCUGAUUCCCCAUGUAUAUUUUAUCUGCAAAAUUCACAGGUAUAUCAGAAUCAGUUUUAUUACCACCCACUAUACAUCAACUUCUCCUGCCUGCUUGUGCUGCCUACCAUUCCAACUAUUACUCACUGAUCUAUCGUCAUCUUCUACUUCCAUGCUGUCACCUCCAGUACUAGACAUACCUUUGGCAGACCCACAGCCAUGGAGGGGCCCCUGUGGAGAACUAGACUUUGAAUUACUUUGUUUUGAUGAGUCGUCUUUGUGUCCAUUUUGAGCCAUCCAUAGAGCAUUUGCUUGAGCAGCUGAAGAAGCUGGGAGUUUACGGAUAUGAAGCCUGUAUUUCUGCCCACACACAAAACAUCAUCUCUACCAUAACAAAAACAGUUCUGAAAAAUGACAUUUUUGAAUCGAAAACUUACUUGCAAGUGACUUUUAACUUCGUCAUUCGUGAGCCCAUCAACUUGCAUAAGUUCUCGUAUUUGUUUAGGAGUGGCCACUGUAGAACACAAUAAUCCAAAUCAAGAGUCAGAAAAGAUAAAUACAUACUAAACAAAGAGCUCAAUUGAAGUAUACACAAAGGAAUAAAAUUAUAGUAACAAAGUACUUUUUUGGCAUAAGAACCUACAAGCCAAUCAAUGCAAUAAGCUAGAAAUCCAAAUCAUUUCCAUUUCUUGUACAAGUCGAUCUUUAUAAUUUUAAUUUACAAGAAAGAAAGAUUCACAGCUUUCAAUCAAUUUAAUCCACUUUUUUAAAGAACCAACCAAAUACCGAUCUUAGAGGACUGAAAGAAAAGGCAGUGCCAAAAGAGAGAAAUUUGGUAAUUAGUUUCUAACCUUGAGAUCCACCAAGUUGGUGUAAGGCAUCAAUAAAACGCCUGUGGAGCUCCGGCGACCAGCAACGCCUCUGUUUCUUGUAAGGCUGCUGCUGCUGCUGUUGGGGUUUAUUCUGUAUCUUGAAUUGAUCAGUGCCAUUGGUUUUUGACAUUAAAUUGCGAGAACCCAACUCAGAUACUGGAGUCAUAAGAGAAAGUCCAGUAACUUGAGACACAACCUCUUUCUCCUCUUUCUUUUCAAACCCAGAAGUUGACUUGAACGGCAUAAAUCCCCCUCCUUUGCUUCUGUGAUUGCAUAAUUGAGUUGGAUUCUCACAAGUGGACCGAUCAUCAUCUUCUUCACUUCUCUGUAAAUCAAACAAAAGAACACAAAUCACAUCUUUUUAAUCCAAAAAAAUUGCAACCUUACUUGUUUCUUUUUUUUUUUCUUUUUCUUUUUAAGCAAACAAGUUGUGAAAAGAUUAAAAGUGUACCUGUUUAGUUUCUGAUUUUGAUUCUUGAUUCUCGGAAUCAAAGUUGUUAUUGUUAGUAUGGUUAUUAUUAUUCCAAAGCUGAACAGAACUCAUCCAAUUCUUCUUAUCAAUCAUAUCAUUUUCCAAUUCUCUCUCUUCAUUUCUACAAGAAUUCCCUUUUACUGAUACGACCUCUUCCAAUUCUUUACACUGCAUUGCCUCUUCUUUUAACCUAACAAUAGCUACAAAUAAAAUCCAAAAAAAAAAAUCAAGCGAACAAUCAAAGAAGGAAAACCCAUCUCAGAAAACACAAAUUCAAGAAUAAACAAACUAAUAAAUACAUAAAAGAUUAAUAACAAAGAAAAAGCAAAAUAGGGAACUACACAUACCAUCAUUCAAAAGAAGCAUGCAAAGAGGCAAUUCACGUUUAAAAGCAUCAAUCUUUCUCAUUUCAUCUUCUAAUCUUUGAACAUAAUCAUCAAGCUUUGAUAACUUCAAGCUACUAUCUUUAACCUUCGAAACCUCUUUUAAAUACUCACUAAUCGUUUUGGGUACAUAAACCAAGCUCAAAUCUAAGCUUAGCUCCAUUCCUUUUUCUGCUCCCUCUUUUCUUUAAUUUCUUCAAGAUUAUUUAUCUCUAUAUCUCGGUCUCUGACAUAUAGCCGGACAGAACAAACAAGAGAAAGACAGCUAUCUCAAAUAUAUAUAGAGAGAAAGAAAUGAAAAAAAAAAAAAUAAAGAAAAAGAAAUUGUUCAGAUUCAGGGACGCGAAGAUUCGAUUACUUAUAUUCACACUUCGGGUCGUCGCAUAUUUUUCGAGUUAACUCGGGUGACUCCGCGAGUCAGUAGAGAGUAAAGAAAGGGGAGGUGAAUCAGCGAGUUAGUGAGUCUAAGGGUAUAAGAAUCUUUGGAUACCGUACAUACACACGCGGCGAAUUGUGGUUAUAAAUUAAUUUUGGUAAUAAAAAUAUUCUUUUUAUAGAAAAGAAAAUAAAAUAGUGUGUUUUCCAAGAUUCCAUUGGGUAGGUAAGGUUGAGGUAUCGCUGUGAAAAAAGGAACAAUUAGUACUUUUGACUUUUUAGGGCUCUUUUGGUAACAAAGUUUAUGGCCAAACACAAAACCCUAAGUCUUUCUUUCAUCCAAAUUACCAUUUUAGGUUCCAUUUUUCUUUUACUGUUUUCAUAUGUGUCAUUUCUUUUUACAAACUUUGAGAUAAUAUAUUGUUUUAAUUAUAAUUAAAACCACACUUAAAGAAUUUCAAAUUUAUUUUAGAUCGAGUUUAAAAUUUGUUAGAUCGGUAGGUCUCAAUUCUGGAUCGAAUUGAAUUAUACUUUUAAUUAAUAAUUAAAAAAUUAAAAUUUAUUUUUUUAUAAUUUUACUUCAAUAUAUAUUUUCAAAAUUUUUUUAAUAUACAUAUAUCAAUAAUUAAUUUAGAGUUUGUUGAAUAUGAUCUUUACGGGCGGUAAAAUAUUUUUUAAAAAUUUUAACGUACUUAUAUAUCUAAUAUUUUAAUUUCAAACUAUAAUUAAAUCAGUAUAAAUUAUUAUAAUCUUAUUUAUGCGAUAUUUGAUACAUUUUUAAGUUAUUUUUAAAUGAUAAUUAAUACUUAUGACUUCUCAAAUUAUUAUACCCAUAAACAAGACACAUAAGCCCCUUAUUCAGUAAAUGGAAAGAUGUGUAUGCGUAGAUCACCAACAUACUUUGCAGGAUAAAUUUAUAUAAAGAGUCCCUAAAUUAGAUUUUUGAAUCAAUAAUAAAGUAUAUAACAAAAGAAUUAUUAAAUGCUAAAAUCUAAAUAUAUUAAUAUAUUUUAAAAAAUAUCUUUUACUAUUAAUAUAUAUAAAUUUUAAAUAAUAAAAUAUACAUUAAUAAUUCAAUACUAAAAUAUAAAAUAUUUAUAAUACGUAUUACUCUCCUAAUUUAUACAGUAAAUGUCAAUAAAAAUAAUUUAUAUUUUAUAUAUUAAAACAUAUAUCUUUAACUAUAAUAUUUAAACACAAAUUUCACACUCAACUAAUUAAUAGAAAAAUGAUAAUUUUCAUACUAAUAUAUUGAAUAUAUUAACAAUAGUAGAAGACAUAUUCAAGGUGGGCAUGACCCAUAAAUUUUAUCCUUUCCAUUUAGGAUAAUAUGAGAUGAUAUUAAUUCCUCAGCAUCCAUUCUU